RNAcentral lists this long non-coding RNA (51721 nucleotides) under Gossypium barbadense (sea-island cotton). RNAcentral's name for it is "long non-coding RNA (GBAR_LNC013018)". The stretch from base 35754 to 35898 matches the Rfam family "MIR7502 microRNA precursor family". Lineage: Eukaryota; Viridiplantae; Streptophyta; Magnoliopsida; Malvales; Malvaceae. The record is from RNAcentral.
AAAAAAAAAGUGUCAAUUUAUGCAUUGAGCCAAAAAGAAAUAUAGUCAAUUCUCUCUAUUAUGUGAUUUUGGUCACAUCAUGGGAUUCGACUCAAAGGUCUCGAGAUUGAGCCAAGUUCGAUGGGCCUAAAUUCAAGAUGAAAGCGUUUAAAACCCAUGGAAUGUUAGCAUGUGGGCUUUUAUGGCCCAAAAUCAUUCAUCUUAUUUUAUAUUUCCACAACUUUUAAUUAUUAACUUUUAUGAAUCAUGUGUCUUAUGUGUCUUUAAUGUGUCUCUUUCUAUUACAUGAUAAUUUGUGUGUCCAUUUAUGUUUAAAGGGAUCUCUUAGUUUUCUAUUAUUAGAUUUGUUUUUAAUCAUCAUGAAUUAUUCGCAUGUAUCAUUUUGAUUAUUUUCGUGAGUUUAGUUCUAGGUCUAGAGAAUCAUGUUUAAUUAUGUGUGUGUCGUUUCACUUAUGUUGAAAGUCUAAUUUCCUACAUAGCGGCGUCAUGCUUAUAAAUAUAUAAUAUGUUGUGUUUUUGUGUUUUUUUUUUUUUGGUGUCAUUGUGUUAAUUCGAAUAAUGGGUUGUUUUGAAGUGUUGAAAAUAAUCUAAUGUCCUAUUUAUAUUUGUUUUAUAGGGACUGUUCGGCUGGCCACUUUAAAUCCAACGUGAACCUACAUUUAAAUCAAAUGCAUGCACAAGUAAAUUCAAGGCAUUAAUCGCAAGCUUAAUCAAGCAUACAAUUCACCUAUACAUGCAUGAGCGACAAGGGGAGAAGUUUUGCAUUAAAAUGGUUGCAUUGCAUGUCACCAUACAUGUAUCUACUCAAGAGGAAUGAAUCUGCCCAUUCAUGCACUUUAAAAGGGGAUAAAUUACCUCUUCAAGCACCCAAGUGAUUCAUGAACGUCCAUGGAGAAAGAAUAUGACCAUUCGGUCAUACAUUGCAACCAAUCAUUCAUGUAUCUUCCUAUACAUUGUAUGGCACCAUACAUGUAUGCACAUUAAUGGUCGAAUAUGUCCUUUAGUCUCCUAAGCUCUAUAAAUAGUUUGAAACUUCCCAUUUGUAAGGUUAGACUAUUCUGAUUAUAAACUGUAUUUGUGAGAUUUAUUCUCUCCGGUUCUUAAUUGAACUAAAACCGAACUUAUCAAACUUCUUCGAGUUUGUGGCGUUCACCCAUCUUAUCACUUCAUACACCAUCCCGAAGUGUGGCGACUUCCUUUAUACCGAGGUUUUAGUGAGUCCGAGUGUUAAACGGGUCUUAGUUUUAAUAUAGCUAAGGUUCUUUAACUAAGACUACUACGGGUCAAGGUUUCUACCAUCAUUUGAACUUGUUCAAGACGGUCCAUCUUAUUCAAGCCAUUUUACAAACAUUCUAAGUCUGGGAAAUCGCAUCACUUUAUAACAACCCCAUUUGUCUAUCCAGAUUUUGUCUAUUAUAGAGAGGUGGUUGUUAUAAAGAGAUAAUCAUUGUAAGCUUACUAUAUAAUUUAUAACGUGAAUUUUUAUCAAAUAACUAAAGUGAAAAUUAUGUUCAAAGAAUAACAAGUGCAUUUAUUAUUGCUUUUAUGCAUAUUUUAUUUUACAUCAUUUCACAUGAUUAAUUAAUGUAAAGUUCAUAAAUCUAACAAGUUCAAUUAAUCAACGAGUUCUCAAAUAAUCUAGUGAAUCCGAGUGUUAAACAAGUCUUAGCUUUAAUAUAGCUAAGGUUCUUUAGCUAAGACUACUACGAGUCAAGAUUUUCACCGUCAUUUGAACCUAUUCAAGACGGUCCAUCCCAUUCAAGCCAUUUUACGAACAUUCCAAGUCUGGGAAAUCGCAUCACUCUAUAACAUCCCCAUUUGUCUACCCAGAUUUUGUAUAUAAGUUUAUAAUGUUCCAAAUUCAUAAUAGAAUAUUUAAUUAGGGAAUUUAAUAAUUUAUUGAAUUGAUAUAUUUAAUUCCACUCAUUGAAGAAUAUUUUCAUUAAACAAAAUAUGAUUAACAGAAUUCUUCAAAGUGAAAUUUAAUCAUUAUGUUAAAAUAAUAUUUUAAUUAAAAUAAUAUUCAUUUAAUAAAUGAUAAUUAAUAAACUUGCUUAUAUGAAAUAGCUAUAAAUUUACUUUAUGAUAACUAUGGAUAUUGCUGUUAUAAGUGAAAAGCUAUUAUAGAGAGCUAAAAUAAAACAUAAAAAAUUGAUUCUUCUAAAAACUUGACUAUUAUAGCGCAAUAUUGUUAUUACGAGUGACUGUAUAUAAAAUCUGAACAAAUGUUAUAGUUGAGGGUCAAAUAUCGAUAUGUGACGCAUAUAAUUAAAAAUCGUUCUUGAUAUAUUUGAAAGUUAAUAUCUUAUAUUUAUAUUUAAUAAAUAUGAAAGUGUUGAGAAUUGAAUAGAGGAAGUGUUCAUGGUAGUAUCGAGUUUAAGCUUGAUUUUGAAAAUUUUCGAGACUAGGAUAAAGUUUGACCUUGACUAGUUCAAAUGAUCUAUUUUAAUAUUUUUAAAUAUAUUUAUAAAAAAAUGUAAAUAUUAAUAAAAAAUUAUUUAUAUAUUUAUUUAUUUUUUAAUCAGUGAAUUGGAUCAGAUUAAUCUAUCUCGAGAUUUUAAAAACUAAUCACAAAUUUGAUCCAUAAACACUUCCAAAAUUGAGAUACCAUAAACAUUAGAGAUCAAUUUACCGUUAAAAAGAAAAGAUCAACAAGUGUUGGGUGUAAUGAUAAGACAUAUUGUAUUCCUAAGAAGAUAUACAUGUUCAAUUUAUGAAUAUGACAUUGUUGAAAGGGCAGCCACAAACCCUGAACAUGGACCAUAAAAUGAACAUAAAAAAUAUCUAAAAAUAUAUUUAAAAAAGGGAAAAAAUGAUGAAAUUAAUAGAAAAUGUGUAAAAUGUUUUGUUUCUCCAAUGAAAUGCAUGACAACUAUGUUUACGUCUUUACUAGCAUCAACUCCCCGCUAAUGCCGGGCUAUUCUAAAAUAUAUAUAUAUAAUUAAUUAAUAGUAAAAUUAAAUAUUAAAUUAAAAUUUAUUAAAUCAAUAUUAUUUAAUUUUUAUUAAUUAUUAAAAUUAAAUUAAUUAUAAUUAUUUAGAAAUAUAUACUGACUUUAAAUUAAUCUACGAGUUAACAUGUACAUUAAUAAGUUUAAUUUUUUUAUUUAAAAUUAAAAAUAAAACAUAUUUUAUCUUGUUGAUCACGUGUCCUCGUAAGAUCACAAAUAAAAAUAUGGACUAACUAUUUUAAAUGCAUUUAAAAGUAUAUAAAAAUAGUCGAUUGAUAUUGGUAUUGUUGUCAGUGCAAAAAGACGUGGGUUUAAGUGCAUUAAAGCGUAUUAUCUUCCUAUUUAAGGGUUGGAGAGGGGCUACGAGUAAUUUUAAGCAUUGUAUUAAAAAGAACAGAUACGAUAGCAACUUAUAAUAAUAUUAAUGUUCAACAUAUAUAUUGUUUAAAUAUUAUUUUUGAAUGAAUCCCAUAUGAUGGCCUGAUAGUCAAGAGUGUUUAUCAUCUCAAGUGUAGCUUGAGUUUAAGUCGCAUUAGUCGCACUUGCUAUUUGUUCUGUCUUGUUAUUGUAAUUCACUAAAAAAUAUUUUUUUUAAACAACAUGAGAGUGUAUAUGCAAAUCAAGCCAUUUAAAAUUAAAAUUAAAUAAUAUUUAAACAAUUUUCCUUUUUAAACUUCUUCUGGUUGCUCCAUUUUGAACUAUAUAUUGUUUUGAGAAGGGUUAAAUCUCGAAAUUGCACAUAAACUUUAAUUUAAUGUGUAAUUAUAUAUAUAAAUUUUAAUUUAGUACAAUUAUAUACUAAAACUCUCAUUGUAAUUCAGAUUUAUACUUAAAACUUUAAAAUUAAAAAGUGAUGGUUAAAAUGGGUUUUAUUCAAGACAUGGGCUUGGGCAUUUGCCUAUUCAAAAAUAAUGAGAAUUAAAAUUUUGAUUUUUUUUAAUAUUUUUUUAUGUUAAUUUUAUUAUUCAUAUUUGAAUAAAUAUAAAACUCAUCUAUUAAUAAACUUAAUUAUCUUUAGUUAUUUUUAUUUGACCCGAUUCAGUGCACUCUAAUUUUUUGUUUUGACAUAAUCAUAACUUUAACUUCCAAUAUUUUUCUUUUAAAAUUUAAAAUUUUAUUUAAAUUUUGAUAAAUUUAAAAUUUUAUUUAAAUUAUUUUUUAUGAAAAAUCGAUUACACUGCUUAAAAUUUUAAUUGCAUUGAUGUAUAUUUAUUAAAAAAUAGAAUACAUGAAAUUAUUAAAAGUUUAAAAAAUAGGGAAAUUAAAAAUUAUCCAUACUAGCAAAAAAAUACACAUGAAUUGCCACAUAAAAAAUAUAAUUAAAAUUCGAUUUGUUACAAUUUUAUAUAUAAAAUUUGAACUGAAAUUUAUGUGUAUACAUGAAACUUUGAUUUUAAUUUAAUUGUACACAUUUAAAAAAUGAGAAUAUGCAUUUAUUUCCAUAUUGGAUUAAUAUAAAUAUUUGUAUAUGUAUUAUAUCAAUGUAAAAUGACACUAACUAAACCUACUAAUGGGUCGAGUCACUUGCCAGGCUCGAAGACUUGCCCAAAAAAUGAGAAGAUUUGGAUAGAAUAAGCCCAAAAAAUGAGCUUGAGUAAAAUUUAAAGCCCUUUUUCUAUAUGGGUUAGUCCUUGGGCAAGAAUUUUUUGGCCUGACUUGAAUAUUAUGUUAUAAAAUAAUAUUAUAUUAAUUAUAUAUUUAUAUUUAUAUUAAAUCACUAGUCUAAAAAUAAUUAAACCCAUUGCCCAAAACUUAAAAAAAAAAUACCCAACCCAAAAUAUAAAAAUAUAAAAUUUAUAUCUAAUACAAUAAAAUAUUUAUUAUAUUUAUUUGUGACUUUAAUAUAAUAAAACAUUUAUUAUAUUUUUAGUAGUGUUUUUUGAUAUAAAUAAAUUUUAAUGUAUUUUUAAUAUGUUAGAAAAGUUUUAUUUUAGCUUUUUAAAUGCAUUUAGUGUGUUAUAUUUUUUAAAAAAAUAUAUAAUUUUAAAUAAAAAUUAAUCUGAAAAAAGUUAAAUAUGAGUGGUCUAGUCAAGCCUAGAUUUACUGAUCUUAAAUCGGGCCAGGCUUGAAAAAGUGGUCUAAAUACCUUACAUAGGCCUGACCCAGCUCAUGAGUACUUCUAACGCUAACUCGAUAAUGUUAGUGAUUUGUGAAAACUGAAUCAAGUCAAAAUUUCAUAUAUAAAACCGAAUAAAAUUAAGAUUUAUGUAUAACAUUACACACUAAAUUAAAUUUUAUAUAUAAUUUUAAUAUUUAACCCGAAAAAUAUUAAUGAGUAAAUCACUUUAAAAUUUUAAUAACGUUUGGUGUGACAUAUGCGUUGGGAUCUCUUUUGAACAUUAUUUUUUGGCAUGGCAUUGACUUGUGAGAGAUGCAAUAGAAUUCUUGUUUUAAGUGCAAAAAUGUGGAAAAAAGAAAAGAAAAGGGUUAUGAGUAGUGAUCCAAUCACAUACUUAAUUAAACUUCUUCCAUAAGUAAUCCAUUAAUGCUUUUGGUAAGAUUUCAGCAUCAUAGCUUCUACAUGUAAUGUUUGGUUUACCUUACCUACUUAUCUCUAUUUCAAUUUCCAACCCAUUUAUUUAAUUGUUUACUAUGAUUCUUCUUCCUUUGAUUUUCAUUUGCCCAAUUUAAUUAAAUAAGGGGAAGUUAAAAAUUUUAUGUUCGAGCUCGAGAUAAAAUUAUAAAAUUGUGUUAAAAGAAUUUAAUAUUAAUUAAAAUCUUUUAGAAGGGACCAAAAAUGAAAAAAGUUCCAUUAACUGAGAGAAAAACAAAGGAUAAAAUUACAUUUGCUCCAUUCAAUGAAAAAGGGCCAAGACCCUUGUCUAUAUAUGGAAUAAAAUAUUUUAAUAACAAUAUAGGUAAAAUUUUAUUCCUGUGUUUGAUCUGAUAGUUAAGGGAUGUUCAUUGAUAGAACUUAUUUGGAUUCAAGCCUCUAAGGGAGCAAGUGGCAAGCCUUUAUUUGAUUAACAAGUGGCGGAGGGGUCCUGACCCCUUAAAAUAAAAAAAUUUCUAUUUAGACUUCUUUAUAAUUUAUAAUAUUUUAAAAUAGUAAUGAUAAAAUUAUAUUUUGUCCCUCCAAAAAUGAAAUAAAUUUGAUUCAAUCAUUUAAAAAUAACAAAGAUACCAUUAAAAUGGUGAAAUUACAUUUUUACUAUCGUAAAAAUAUACAAUUUAAUUUUGACCCCUCUCAAAAAAUUUCCUAACUUUACCCUUAUGUGUCAACUCCCUUCAAACGUAAUAUGUGUAUAUGUGGUGUGAAUAUAUCCCUACCAUAUAAAAAUGAAUACUAACCUUCUAAUUGUGAAUUACCAUUUAUAUAUAUAUAUUGAAAAUGUGUGUAUUUAUGUUGUUCAUUUGGGUGGAUAAAUUAGAUGUAAGCUCCAUUAAACUUAGUUUUAUUAAUUGCUAUGUCAUUCAUUAUUUUGGGCUAUUAUUUUCAUCUCAUUUAAUAUUAUUGUAGACUCUUGUGAAAAUCAUAGUUGUAAAUCAUUUAAUAUGUGGGUGUAUACUUGUGAACUUCCCAUCAUGCAUUUUAAUAUAUGGUUUCUCAUUUAUUAAUACUUUUAAACAUUUUAUAUGCAUUUUUAUAAUUUAAUUUUUAAUUCUUUUAAUAAUAUACAUAUAUUAAUUUACAUACAAAUAUACUUAAUCAAGUUAAAAAUAUUUAGUCUUUAGAAUUAGCAAAUAGUUGAAGGGUUGCCUUGAUCAUAUUCGAAUUCAAGCCACCAAGAUUUUGAUAAAAUUUUAAAUAAAUUUAUUUUUGAAUAUUAAAAUAAAUAAUUUUGGUUAAAUUUUGUAAAUAAAUAGAAUACUUUUUUUAUAAGGAGGAAAAUUUUCUUUUGAUGAAAGAAAAUCACAAGCAGUUGAGAGUUAAGGUUUUAUCCGAGAUAAAUGCUCAAAACGUCAAUAAUUUUAAAAUUGGAAGCAUGAAGAACAAGAUUAGCCUUUGCUUGAAACAAGCAUUCAUUGCCCACUAUCGUGGAAGCAAGGGGGGACUCAUGCUGGUAAUUUUAAGCAAUUGAUCAUCAAAGCAAUCAUAGCCACCAUGAUGCGAAAGAGUCUCUUUUCACGCUCUCACUUGUUUAGACGAUGGGAACACCACUAUUGAUAUGAAACAAUAGAUGCAGAGAAAGCUAAAAAAAAUCAAUCAAAACUCGGUAGCCUACAAAGAUCAAGAUUUGGAGCAAACGCUACAGAUAGACACAAAAACGAUCACAAAAUUGCUUCCGCAAUGGGGAAGUCAAUAACCCCAUCCAUGACAGAGGUAGAAGGUAAAAGAAAAAAAAUUGUGGUAAAAAAGCUACCAGAAGGUCAGAGUUGGUGGCAACGAGAAAGGCCAUAGGGGAGGUGACGGCAAUAAGAUAUUUGAGAUGAUAUCGACUCAUCAAAGACUAACAUGAAAAGAGAAAAGAUUGUGAGCUUGUGAUUAAGCUCUAUUGAGUGUUUUUUUUUAUGUCCCCUUGAGAGGAAUAUUGAGGUAUUUAUAUAUACUCCUAUUGUUACAGUUCAUAACUGGGCCUACUAUUUUGUCUCGGCCUUGGGGUCUCCAGUACUGACAUUUCUUGUCUCAGGUGCUAACAUUCUGUGUGCGCCCCCUAGCUUGUUGAAUGCUUGCCUGCAUAACACGCGAUCCUUUCUGAUCUUGGGGCUAACAUUCUCAGCCAGCUCCGUACCCGUUGGUCACAAGCCUGGGUUGCUUGUAGGGCUUGCAACCCUUCUUGCGAACAUCGUUUGCGACUCCAUUUUGCGAGGUGUGCCCGCGAACUCCUCUUGUAAGCUAUCUUGGAGAGUAUGCCUCUUCCGAGUUGGGUCUAUCCAGGUCAAUCGUUGGGGACUCAAAUCCUUUUAGGACAUUUAAGUUGAUGAUUAUAUAUAAAUAUAUAAAUAUAUAUAUAUAAAACAAGCCCUAAAAAGAAAUUUAGAAAAAAAAUUAAAAAGAUAAUCAAACUAAAAAGAAGAUAAAACAAAAAACAAAAAAUCCGUCUCAACAUGGUGUCGGUGAGUUGUGGUUUAGCAGUAACGCACAAAGCUCAACUAAUACGAGGCCCGUUAUAUCUUACCUUCCUUUGCCGCUUUCUUUCUCUCGAAAUUUCCGUUUCCUUGGAAAAUUAAAAGAAAAAAAAAUAUAAUACACUUUGAAGAUCUCUAUGUUUGGACUUCAAAUAGAGACUACCCUUCACGUCAAUCUCUCCGCCAUUUCUCAUUUCUCUUUUCAUAAAGGUUAGUCAGAUCCAUUUCUUUACAUACUUUCUUCAUUAUAUUUACAUCCAACUGCUACACUCAUAAUAAUCCCUUGUUUCUUCAAAAACCCACAUCGAAAACCUUUGAAUAUUUGCUUAUAAUCCCAUUUCUCGAUCUGGGUUUACCCAGAUCUGACUAAAUCUGAACUCAAUGGCGAGUUUUGGGAUCUGGGUAUUAACGAUUUUCUUGGUUUUUCAAUCUGGGUAUGGGUUUUAUUUGCCUGGUAGUUACCCUCACAAAUAUAAAGUUGGGGAUCCUUUAUCUGUUAAAGUGAAUUCCUUAACUUCAAUUGAUACUGAAAUGCCCUUUAGCUAUUAUAGUUUACCCUUUUGUAAACCUGCUGAGGGUGUUAAAGAUAGUGCUGAGAAUCUGGGUGAGCUUCUUAUGGGAGAUCGUAUUGAGAACUCGCCAUAUAGGUUCAAGAUGUGUACUAAUGAAACCUUGAUCUUUUUGUGUCAAUCGGGUAAGUUAUCGGCUGAUGAGUUUAAGUUGUUGAAGGAGAGGAUUGAUGAGAUGUAUCAGGUUAAUUUGAUUCUCGAUAAUUUGCCGGCGAUUAGGUAUACGGUGAAAGAGGGCUUUGUGUCGAAGUGGACCGGGUAUCCGAUUGGGGUUAAGUUUCAAGAUAUGUAUUAUGUGUUUAAUCAUUUGAAAUUUAAGGUUCUUGUUCAUAAGUACGAGGAAACGAAUGUGGUGCGUGUGAUGGGGACAGGGGAUGCCGUUGAUGUUUUCCCCAGUGGUGGUAAAGGUGGAUCCGAUGUGCCGGGGUAUAUGGUUGUUGGAUUCGAGGUAAUUCCUUGUAGUGUUAUGCAUAAUGGUAACUUGGUUAAGGAUUUGAAAAUGUAUGAUAAAUACCCAUCCGAGAUUAAAUGCGAUACAACUACCGUCACGGUGCCUAUCAAGGAAGGUGAGCCAAUUGUGUUCACGUAUGAAGUUGCCUUUGAGGAGAGUGAUAUCAAGUGGCCAUCUCGUUGGGAUGCUUAUUUGAAGAUGGAAGGAUCGAAAGUUCAUUGGUUUUCGAUCUUGAAUUCCCUUAUGGUGAUCACUUUCCUUGCUGGUAUUGUUCUUGUGAUCUUUUUAAGGACUGUUAGGCGGGAUCUGACUCGGUAUGAGGAGCUUGACAAGAAGGCUCAAGCGCAGUUGAACGAGGAGUUGUCGGGGUGGAAGUUAGUUGUCGGGGAUGUUUUCCGUGCCCCGUCCCAUCCUGCUCUUUUGUGUAUUAUGGUCGGUGAUGGAGUUCAGAUCCUUGGUAUGGGAGUUGUAACUAUAUUGUUUGCUGCUCUUGGAUUCAUGUCUCCGGCAUCCCGUGGGACUCUCAUUACAGGUAUGCUAUUCUUCUACAUGAUUCUCGGAAUUGCAGCUGGCUAUGUUGCAGUUCGGCUUUGGAGGACUAUCGGCUGUGGUGAUCACAAGGGAUGGGCUUCAGUUGCAUGGAAAGCCGCUUGCUUUUUCCCCGGUAUCGCCUUUUUAAUUCUCACCAUUUUGAAUUUCCUGUUGUGGGGAAGUCACAGCACUGGAGCUAUCCCAUUUUCGCUCUUUGUCAUUCUACUCCUAUUAUGGUUCUGCAUCUCUGUUCCACUCACCUUAGUCGGAGGAUACUUCGGAGCCAAGGCACCUCACAUUGAAUACCCUGUCCGAACCAACCAGAUCCCUCGAGAAAUCCCAGCUCAAAAAUACCCAUCAUGGCUGUUAGUUCUCGGUGCUGGAACUCUACCUUUCGGUACCCUUUUCAUCGAGCUUUUCUUCAUCAUGUCAAGCAUAUGGAUGGGACGCGUGUACUACGUCUUCGGCUUUCUUCUCAUCGUUAUGGUCCUCCUUGUUGUGGUUUGUGCCGAAGUAUCAUUGGUGUUAACUUACAUGCAUCUCUGCGUAGAAGACUGGAAAUGGUGGUGGAAAUCCUUCUUCGCUUCUGGUUCAGUCGCCAUCUACAUCUUCUUAUACUCCGUAAACUACCUCAUAUUCGAUCUCAAGAGUUUGAGUGGACCGGUCUCUGCAACUCUCUACUUGGGGUAUUCUCUCUUCAUGGUCCUCGCAAUCAUGUUGGCCACUGGCACGAUCGGGUUCCUUUCAUCUUUCUGGUUUGUGCAUUACUUGUUCUCUUCCGUAAAGCUGGAUUGAAGAUGUAAAUCGGUAACCCGAGAGGCAGGGGAAGAAAGAAUUGGACCUUUUACAUCACUUUAUCAUAUAUUACAGGUGUUAUAUUGAGCUCAUUUACUUUGUUAGGGGAACUUUAGUAAAAUGCAAUAACAAUAAUAUGGCGCAGUUUCAUUUAAAUUCUUUAUUAGUUGUUACUAUGAUGCAUGGUACUGCUGGUUUUUAGGUUGUGUUUGUAACAUUUCUUGGUGCUACUUUAUACUAUUUAUUUGGGGAUCUGUAAUGCAAGCUAUGCACAGUUCACAUUUUUAUUGCUCUCAACUUUGUUGAGGUGUGUUGGUCAAAUUACAGUUUUGGUCCUUUUACCAUCUUCGAAUUCUUAAUUUAACUUAUUUUCAUUUUUUAUUGUAAUCUAGUUUUCUUUAUUUUUAUAAUAUAUUUGAUUAGUUAAGAAUAUUAAUUAUUUGUUGAGAUGGAUUAAUAAAUUAUGGUAAGUAGAUAAAUUAAACCUAAAUUUGAAUAUAUAAAAAGCCAGACUAGAUAUGGUUAUGAAGGUUCUUCUAUUAGGGUCCAAUUGAAUUUUACUUUCUUUAUUUGGAAAUGUACAAUUUAUUUUUUAAGUUAAAUCAAAGAAUAAAUGGUCAUUUUAUUAAAUAUUGUCUAUUUUAAACUUAGUUGUACUUCAAUAUGAAAUAUUUAUGACAUGCCAUGUUAUUAUCUAAUUAUUCAAUUGAUCACAUUAAUUUUUUUAAUAAAAUAAUUAAUAUAUUCUUUAAUCUAAUAUAUAUUAUAUAAUAUGACUCCUCCACCUUGAUAGAAUUGCGUUGUACUUAUUACUCAGGAGUAGACCGUGGGAGCGGUGUUAAAGGUCAACACGGCAUUGCCCCCAAAUGUAGCAUGGUCAUGAUUUAAUUUGUUUAAAAAUUGUGAGGAUAGAAAAUUGAAUAAUGAUAAAACUAUAUAUUUUAUAAUUUCAUUCUAAACCCAAAAGAUUUCAAUUAUGACUUAAAACCACAAAGUCAAAAGUCUUGAUACAGUCUUUGAAACUGAAAUCUCCGUUACUGAGUACCAUGUAUAUUGCGAGCUUGUAUAUGAAGGGAGCUGCGCCGAAUAAAACAAGGAUUCAACUGGCACCGGGUACGAUAAAAGUAUUGACUCUUAACGACAAGGAAAAAAGUUCCAUUUUCUAGAGAAUAUAAAAGGAUGAAACAUCCAUCUUAUCCUACAUUAAGGUAGGAAAUCUAAACAGAGGACCAUACAAGCAAAUGUUUAUUUGUUGGCUAUUGAUUGAAUCAUCUACAAAAGAAUUGAAAAUAACAAGCACUAAACCAAACCCCCGAAGGAACCAUGCGCCACAACCGGUACCAUUACGCGUUGCAGAAGCUUAACCAGAACUCAAUGCUUGAUGCAUCGAUUUGGAAAAUAUGCCAUCCAAGUCGGUUUCUACAUCCCACUCUAAGCCACUUCAGCCUCGUGUUUGCCUAGUAUUGUAUGACUUGCAAUUCGGACAUUUCUGAGCCAGGACAUGAAACCGAACUAGAGAUUUUGUCCCACAAUCGUUGCAAAGGAUCGAAACCUGUUGAAUCACAAUUGAAUUUUCUAAGUAAACCUUGUUCCACGAAAAUGAAUCUCAACUAGUAUAAGGCUUUGUCAUUCAAGAGAUUACGAACAAUUUUGUUAUGGUACUCUUCCGGCAUUGGCGCAGCUGCGAUCUCCUCAUCAAAUUUUUCCCAGACCUUUGACAUGUCACAAACCGAUUUGGAGCACAGAGGGCAGGCAUAUCUGUUCAAGUGAUUGGAAUAUCAGUCAAUAAUAGAGUUACAAAAUAGUAGGUAAUAGUAAAAUCCUGAGAUUGAGCUGAAGCACUAACUGGAAAUGGUCCCUCAUUUCCUUCAAACAAUUUGUGUGAAUUGUAUGUCCGCAUGGCAGAAUAGUUACAUCCUGUCUUGAUUCGAACAAGAACUGCGUAUACAGAUUGAGGUCUUUCAGUUAGGUAAAAUAUUAAAGUAAUUCAUUAUCAAAUUUAAUGGUAAAUAAGAGAACUUGAAAUUACCUCAAAGCAUAUGGGACAGUCAUGGUGCAUCGCUCCUUCAACACAGGGAUGGCUAUUUUUCAGAAGAAUUGAAUAGCAGCAACCUUCGUGCAACAAAAAACAUAAAAAUAAACGGAUAAAAGUAUUAGUGAUGUUCAAAUACCCCAAUAAGACUAAUAAAAGCUUACAUAAAGAUGGAUUCAGAUUAGCUUACCACACUUGUGGCAAUGGAAGAAGUUCUCCUGCCCUCCAAUCCUGGGAGAAAAUAACAUUAUUAUUUAGUUGUGAAAAUGACAAGAUUAAAAGAUAAAAAGGUAAGUGAAUGAUGGCGAAAUAAGUAAAAAUAAUUUCAUAAAUUAAGGCGAAGAAAACCAGGAAAUGACAACAUACCUACAGAUCCCACAACCAUCACAAUGAUACUGUCUCUUCGAUGUCUGCAUGGUAGAAACAAACAUUAGUAUGCCAUUGCGUGCAUCUUUUAACUCUUUGAGCAAAACAUAAAGAGCUGAGACAACAGAACAAGUCACAGAACUAUAAAACAUGGAAAAACUUAGGUUUGCGUUUGGCUAUCCACUUACAUCAUCAUCAAAAAGUUUGCAGGUGUUGCAGAAAUAUUUUCCCAUACAAACACCACAGUUGAUGCAAACUUGUUGAGCCUGUUCAAAACAAUAUCAAAAGCAAACAACCUCAGAAGAAAUCCAACCAAGUACAAAGAGCCUCUAAAAUGCUAAACACUGCAAAACUAAAUUUUCCUUGUCAUCAAGAAUGUCAUGAAAACUAGAAUUAAUUGGACUAACUUACUUCUUGUUCUGUGCCACAUAGCGAACAAAUAACCUGGUAAAAGUUAUGGGUAAAUGUUAGCAACCUGGAGCAUACAGUGGAGAUGCCACCAAUACAAAGAAAAAGAUUUCCAGGUACCAAGAAACUAGGCUGAAUUUAUGGAUAUAUUUACCUUACUGAUUUGACGGCAUGGGAGAUCAUGUCUGAGCUUCUGGUCAACAUUGAUAUUGUUCUGAGCACAAUGAGAAUCAGUUAGAUGUUAAUAUUAUUGAAACUAAUAAAAGGUAAAGAUGUUUUUUGGAUGAUAAAUCUGAACUUCCAGUUGCAUGUUAGAAUGUACUAAUUUGUUAUAGCUAUCGCUACAUAAUUUCAGUUAAAGCAUAUAAAUAUCUAAAUCAGAUGGCCUUAAAAGGUUAACAUAAACAAAGUGAAAAAAAUAACACUCAAAUUAAUGAAAUAACAUUCUCAAACUAGUGUAAUAUAGAUAGCAACUACUGUUGAUCAUAAAAUGUUAAGGACGUAAACUAACCUUUGCCUCAUUAUGACAGUGACGACAAUCAAAUAUCUCACCACAACAGGGAGCUCUAAUCCGGCACCUUCUUCGAUAAUGUGGGCAACUGUAGAAAACAGGGGAAAAUCAACAACACAUCGUCAACCAACAAAUAAAAGAACGGAACCUGAACAGAACCUAAUUAAAGUAAAGGAAAAGAUCAGAACUUACCCAUACUCCAUAAACCCCUUGUCCAGCAAUUCAGUUGCUUCUGCAUCAUUUGAUUCUUGUUUAUCCACACAAAUUCCACCUGACUGUGAUGAGAAUGAUCCCCUCGCCUCUUCUUCAAAUGCUUCGCAGCUUUCAUUUUGUUGCUGAUAGCUAAGCUCUUCAGCUCCAGAAUGCUUAAUUUCCCCUUCUUCCAUUGAAAAUGUCAUUUCCAGAUGAAACCGUAUGAUAUCUUACAAGCUGGUGCAAAGCCUAAAAACCUGCAGAUAAUAACAAAUUUAGCAAAGAUUCCAAUAUUUUAAAAAUAGCUAGUGGCUUGAACAAGCCAGGCAAGCACUCCAAGAAAUUGAUGCUUUCUUCUACACUGCCGCAGACCAGUCGAAAUCAGCAACAAAAUAAUCCAAGAAAGGUUGAACAGCUCCAAUCAGCAGUACUCCAAGCGAAGGAUUCAUCAAAAUAAGUAGAACUACAAAAAGAAACCCACAAAAACAAGAAUAAUGCAGCACUGAGGAACUCCAGAGCCUCCAGCAGUGAAUUAGAAAGCAAUAGCAUUGCAUGAUAACUUGAUUGCUUGAAGUUCUGGACCCAAAUCCAACUAUACUGGAGACGACCAUAGACGUCCCAACCUAUGGUAAAAGCAAUAUAUCAAAGAAUCAAACAUAUUCUCUAAUGAAAAGAAAAAAAACAAAACGGGAAAGAGUGAUUGAUUGCAAAAUUUUUCUGCGUUGUUGUCCACAACAACAAGCCUACCUCUAUCACAUUUCUGCACCAAGUCUCUCCUCUGAGAAUAGUUUUUACUCAUCACUUAAAACUUUCACAUCCUUAUAACUUGAGAAGGUAAAUCUUCAGAAAUAAUUGACCUUAUUUGGAACUUAAUCAUUUCUCUCACAAAAUCAAGUUCUACAAGAAAAUCUCCAACUACCAGAAGAUUUUUAGUCGAAUAUAAACCAAGCUGGUUGCUCACCACCCAUUCAUUUCUAGGUAGAUAGUAAGCUUUUAGUAGAAACCCUAUUAGCACAGAUUCUUUUAUUUCUUGGCCCUUGCCAAUUGAGAAUACACCCUCCUAAAGUUUCUGGAAAUGAAUCAUAGCUGCUCGGGCUGACCCCAUAAUUUGGAACAAGACAAAGUAAUGACUACGUCUUAUGUCACCACUCUUCAAUCGAAGUUUAGAAGGGGGAAGAUAAAAAAUGAGCAGCAAAGUGACGAUGUAUCUAAAAACAAGUGUUUGUCAUUAGCAAAAUCGAGCAAAUGCAAUGAAGGUUCAAAUCUGAGGAAGAAAUGAACGGAAAUGGCAACUUGGAGAAGUAUCAAUUGGCUGAGAUAUGGAAGACAAAUUUAGCAUCCAACUUGCUUCAGCCCCUUGACUGUGUACAUUAACAAAUUUCAUAACCUGUAAAGAUAGUGAAUCUCCGGGGAAAGAAGGGUCAUGCAAACCAACUAAUCCUAGGGGUUUUGCAGCCUUGAGCAUCUUCAACACCUGCAGCUAAUAUUAAAAAAGAGAUCUGUACACAAAUCCCUAAUGAAUUCUAAUCAAAGCGGCAGGAGCAAAUGAAAUUCAAAGUACAUAUAUCAAAACUGUGACGUCCUUCCCCAGCUGCAAUCAACCGCACAUUUUGAGGUACCAAGCCAACACAAAAUUUUCACAUUUCCCACAUCCCACAUGUAGUGCACUAUCAAUCUGGGAUUUCCUUGCUGGGGAAAGAUAUAACACUAUAUCAGCAUACCAAUCUCCAAAGUGAACUCUAAAAUGAGCUGGUAAAGUCAUUAUUAUUAUUAUUUUUUGUUAGUUUAACGAAGACUUGGAAGUUAUCCAAACCCAAAAAGAGAUCACAUUUUGUGUCAAGAGAAUAAAAAAAUUGGUUGCCAAGCAAAAAGCAGACUUAAUUAAAAUUAAAACUUCCGGGUUAAUAAUAUCUAAAAUUAAUCAAUGUCUCAUCACACUAGUGAUGAAGACGCCUUCAUGAUGCAUCAUGUCAGACAGGCUGUAUGCUAUGUUAAAUAAUGCAAGCUCGUUUUCCCCCUUUACAUCCAAAAACAGACUUAAUUAAAGAACUUUUGGGUUAAUACCAUCCAAAACUAAUCAGUUUGUCCUACCACACUAUCAACGAAGAGGCCUUCAUGAUGCAACAUGUCGAUUGGUUGUAUGCUAUGAUACACAAGUAAUAACAUAAAAGACACCAUCGAGGGUGGUUAACCUAUAGUAUUGCUUAGCAACAAGCAAUACCUAAGCUAGAAUACUUCAUUGAUAGAAAUCAUAUGUUCAUGCUGAAGGCUCUAAACAGCAGGUUACAUAAUUAUAAUAAUCUAAUCCACAAUAUUGACAUAAAUGCCAUCGAAGCAAAGAGAAAAAAAAAACUUGUAAUAAAAAGAAGCAACCACUUCAGUAAAAACAAACAACGGUUUGAAGAACUUUCAAGCAAACAGAAAUCAGCAGCAGCAAUGACAAACAAUAAUAAAUCAGUAGAAGCAACAGCAACACAGCCACAGCUCAAAUCAAUCAGCCAGCAAGAAUAUUAAAAGCUGAGAGUUGUAUCAAAUUAUUCUAACACAAACAAUUUCGAGCAAAAUCAACAAUCAAUCAAAAUUUCACGAUCUUAAGCUAAAUAGGAACCACCGUUUCAAUAAUCUACCAGCUCUCCUAGUUCCCAAAACGUUCAUGUUUGUCCUCUAGAGAAGGAAACGAAUAAUUUCAAUCACUUUUUUUUCCUUCCGUUUCUCUCAAAUUCUCUCAUAAACCAAACGGAAAACUAAAUAAAAAUUCAAGGAAUCACUAAAAUUCAAACAAAAACAUUUGCUUGGCACGUUACCUAAACAAAUAAUUCAAGCAACAACAUGAAGAAAACAAUAUUAUUAAGCUUAAAGUAAAUUUUAUUGAAUAACGAACUUUAAAUUUAGAGAGAAAUCGCUCCGAUCCGAAUAAGAACAAACGGCGGUGAUCCCGAUGAGAAACGUCCGAUCGCAAACGUAAAAUAAUUCUUCCAAUUUCGCAAAAUCAGAGCAUUUUAUUUUAUUUUGCUUUGUGAGAAAACGAUGAUCAUGUGAUUGCCCUUUUAUAGCUGUUUGGAAAAAUAUGAUCGGAUUUCUUCGAUUUCUCGAGACUUCGAAAAUUAUUUUGGUCCAUACGAUACGAAAGCGAAAGCUGUUACUUACUGGUUUCGGAUUUUGUCAUAGCUGUCACAAAAUUUAAAUAUCGAAAUGACGGAUUUACCCUUCCACUUCAAAAUAUCUUCCACAAGAAGACGGAAAGAAAAGACAAAAGGAUUAUUAUAUUUUACAAACGCAACCAUUUUAUAAGAACUUGAAACCUCGUUAGGAUUAAACUAUCAGUGCUGAUUAAUACGUAUUCGACUGUUGAUUUAAAUUUUUAGGGUUAAUUUUACUAAAAGUCCUUAAACUGUGAAUCAAAUUUUAUAUUGAUCUUAAAUUCUAAAAUGUUCUAAUUGAAUUAUCAAAAUAUUAAUGUCAUAUCGGGUCUUUUUAUUACUUUAUCAAUUGCUUGAGUAUUAAAUGUCAGGUCAAUUCCAAAGUUAAAGAGAAAAGUUCAAUGGGAACAGGCAAAGGCCAUCGUUAUUUUGGUUCAAAUGGUUGAAUUACUCUAGUCUUUUAUAAAAGAAUCAUAAUUCAAUUUAAGUCCUUUUAAUAGCUUGUAUGGAUUUUUAAUUUUAGGCUUCUAUAUAAAGCAGAACAUAUUUAAAGCACGUGGAACAAAUUGCAAGUGCAUCUAUACAAAUCGUGUUAAAUUUAAAGUGCUAAAAAAAUUAAAUACUCCUAAAUUUUUUUCAAGUGCGUUAGAAUUGAAUUAUGAAAAUUUGAAAAUAUCAAAGUGUAACUUUAUCAUGUGAUUUCAUCAUUUUUGAAGAGGCUAAACAGAAAUCUUUUCAUUUUCGGAGGCUACGAACUUUUAUUUUCAUCAUUUAACUUGUCUCACUUGUAUUUACCUCUAUUGACCUUAUCUAUGUUUUUUACACAUUCGGUCUGAACUAUCUAUGCGUUAAGCACAAACAUAUUUACAUAUUCAAACUUGCAUUUAACACCUAAAAUACCCAUUAGUUUGACAUAAGGAUCUAAUUGAUAUAAUAUUAAAACUUUGAGAACUUAACUAGAACAUCCUAAUUUUGAGUACCAAUUUAAAAUAUUGCAAUAGUUAAGGAUAUGCUUUGCUAUUAACCCAUUAAAGUAUCAGAUUGAUUAAGAACUAUUUAAUUAUCAAUUUUAUUUUUUAUUUUGUUUUGCAAUUAAAAAUAUUUAUUAAAGUUUGAGUGUACGUUAAUGUGUUUUGACAAAACUGUCGGUGAUGUAGGACACACCAAUAAUGGAGCAAAGAACGAUAAUUCGAAGAAUGGACGGCCGGGAUUUGAUGUGACCGCAAAAAGUUGAUGCCUGACAUAUGUAUUUUAAUGAAGACACGUGUAUAGUCAACCAGACAAGUGGAUUUGAUGUUAAGAUUAGUGGGCGGAAAACGCCCCUGGCUGACGUGGAGAGAUUAUUAUGAUAUUAUAAAUAGUAAUAAAAAAAAACAGAAAGAAAUAUAUCUGAUAAGGAAAGAAAGGAAGAUUUGUCACGUAAUUUUAUUUAUGGGCAAUGUUUGCUAAAAUAUUAGAUAAAUGUAAAAUAUUUAAUUAAAAAUUAUUUCAUAAAUUGUUUAAUAAAAAAAUAUUGAAAAUGAUAACUGGAUAAGAAUAACUUAUCUCUAUCCCUUAAUAAAAAUAAAUUUUAUUUAUUUUUUAAAAUUAUAUUAUCUUUUUAAUAUUUCACGGUUGAUCUAUUCUUACAAUUUUUUGAUAAUUUAAAAAAAAGCAUAAACCUUCAAAUUAAAAUAAAAAUUCUUGUAUUUUUUUAAUAUUUAAGUUUAUUUUCUAAAUUAACUCGUGUUAAUUGUAAAAUAAUUUAAAUUAGUUGUUUUUUUUAAAGAGGUUCACUCGAAUUUUACGUUGUUAUUGAUGUAAUAUUUAGUUUUCAGGAAUUAAUGUUGUGUUUAUCAAUCCCGCCUAAUUUUAAAUUUAGUAAAAGUUUUUAAAUAAUCCUUGUUAAUAUUUUAUUAAUGGUUUUAAGUUUUAACGAUAUUUUCUAUGAUUAUUGAUUAAUAUAAAGACAGCUGAGAUAUUUGGAUACGAUACGCAAAGUUGAUACUGCAAACUACUGAAAGCACGAAUGGAAAAUUGACACGUAUUACACGUGAAACGUGAUUAAAAUUAAGACCGAAAUCAAUUACUGGAUAAUUAUCAUGUGACGCAUUUACUUUCGUCAAGCAUAAAGUUCAGAUUGAUUAACAAAAAUACGCAAGUAAAAUAAUUGUUUUAUGCACGUGCAGACCCUGAAAUUUAAGUUUUAGGAGUUCGGUGAAAAUUUAAAAAAAAAAAAUUGAGGGUCUAAUUGAGAUUUUCAUUUCAAGCUUUAUGCAUAUGCCAAAUGCUCCAAACAUUUCAAUUCAAGCAUGAAAAUUUUCGUGUUAAUUCUGCAGUGGUGCUGUAUUUUUUAUUUGACCCACACCUGCUACAUUGAUAUCAAAGGCUAAGGGGAACAAAAGAAAGUAAGAGGGGAGGGGUUAAAAAAAUUCUAUACAAAGAUCGGCUCUGUCAAAAUUCCGUACACCCCUUACCAUCAGGAUCGAACAACAAUCGGACUCAACCUGAGUAAACCUUGCUGCAGGGAUUUAAAAGAAACUUACCGGCCGUAAGAGCUGUGAACUGAAGUUGCACGAAAAACUGCCACAAUAUAUACAGCAGAAGCAAAAAAAAUAGUGUUACCGCUCACAGCUCUCCUGUUAGUACUUUCCCUGAAGUCAUCAUCACUGAGAAAGGAAAAACCGGAUCCAUUCCAGGGAAAAAAUUGUCAGUUGUUUAGGUAUUCUUCAAAUUCCGAAACUGCGUGGUGCUGGCUAAAUUUUGUUCUUUCGACACAUAUUUCAUUGGAUAAUUCUACCCGUCACCAUUUACAAUGUCGGAAGAUGCUUUGAUUGCCUCUGCAGUCAUGAGAGCAACAACGGCCUUGUGAAUUGCUAGAUCUGCUCUGAAAAGCAAUCUCUGAGCUCUUUCUCUCUUGAACUUGGCCAUUUUAAGUGCGUGCCGGGCUGCACUAGCUGCAUCCCGAUAUCUGAACUCGUCGGUAUCAGGGUUAUCCAACUGUUCGGGGCCGUGCCUUUGUAAUCCAUCUGAGAAGUAAUGAUGCAUGCUUGGCCACUCUGAAAAGGCCAUGCUCUGCUGAUGAAUCCCAUUUCUCUUGCCAAUUAGUCUCUGACUAUAUGAAGUCGUCAUUUGGGACUCGUUUGGUGAUAGAAAAGUGCAAAUUUUCUUUGACUCGCUUCUUCGAAGUUUCUGAUGAUGAUGCUUAUCAAAUCCAUCCCUAAAAUAUCCCUUGAUACCUGAAUCUAGUUGUGAAAAUACUCUUGGCGAUGCCUGAAAUAGCGGGGAAUCUUCUAAAGAUUCAUAGUUAUGCAGAGGAUAUAGAACCUUUUCAUCCCCAAAUAGGAACCCGUUUGAUCUUCGGCCUGAAAUGAUCACAAAUGAAGUCCAACUCUUAAAAGAUAACAUCAUUAUAUAAAGCCAGAUGGAAGUGAAAUAAGUAAAGAACAUUACCGAAAGAAUGGAAACCUUCAUGAUCUCCCAAUGCAGGGUUGAUUUGACCAGAAACUGAAAUUUUCCGCUGGGAUCUUUGUUUUGACCCUCUGUUUGGAACUUGCAAGCCACGGGGUUUCAGACAGAAAGCAAACAUGGGUGGCUUCUCGACGGCAUUGGACGGAAUAGAGCUAACUUUAGACAUGGUUAGCUCCCACUCUCUCACUUGCUGUUCGUACCUUUCCCACAAUGGUGGCUGAAUGACAACAGAAAAUUUUAUCAAGAGUUAGAGAGCAAAAAAUGUUUUAAGAUAAAACAAACCCAUAACAUGAACAACAAACAGGCCACGGUGAAUGUGGUACAAUUCUCGGGCCCAUACACCUUAUGCUGCAGGCCACAAGGGGCUGAUUUCAAAAGCAAAUCCCUGAUCUAAUUCUAAAGGAGAACAUGAAAAGUUGAAUGAAAAGAGAAGAAAUCCAUAAGCUUCACACCUAGGGUUCUAUAGGAGUCAACCACAAAUUAUCUGUCAAUAAUCUAUAUCUCAAUAAAAGGAGUACAUCGAUUUAUAAUGCAGCAAAUCAAUGAAAAACAUACCUGGAGAUGCCGAAUUAAAGGCAUUCCAACUCUUUGCCUCUUCUCCCGCCAAUGCUCAUAGACAGCUGUGAUUACUUCCAUGGACCCAACUCCAGCCAUGAGCUCUUCUAUUUCAUCAGAAUUAAACUGAUCACACUGUUGAGUAUAUGCAGCCUUCUCAAACAUGUCCAUAACCUUCUCAAACAUUUCGUCAGAAAAUUCCAAUGUGCUGCAGCUACCAUCACUCUGUGAAGAUCUAUGAAUUCCUGAAAUCCACUGUUCAUCAUCAGUAUCCAUGUCAUAAAAAACAUGGGAUGGAUCCAAAGCCAUCUCGACAUCAGUUUCAACCUGCCGCAAGUACUUGAAAGAACUGCGAACAAAUGUCACAUCAGUUGCAUUUUCAUCAUAGUCAUGUACCAAGCAAACUCCAGGAAUAGGUAUGUUCUUAACUGAAGCAGCACGAAUGUUUCGGUUGUAGCACUCUUCAUGCAUAUCCUUGAAAAUAGCCCACUGGCUCCUGUCAGUGAACUCCAAGAUCCAAUCCUUUCCUCCUUUCCACAUCAUAGCAUGUGUGUAACGAUUGGUAGAUCCAGGCUGCAGAAACUGAUGCGCCUUGUAAGAGCACCUUGUUGACCCUGACAUUUUCACAGCCAGCUUCCAUUCAUUACGAUCAAUACGUUCUAGAGCAACCUGUGCUCCACAUUCACGCCAUCCUCUGUCACCAAGGGUAAGUAACAAAUUUGCAUGACAAGAUACUAACUCCAUGUUUUUUUGAGAACCUCUAGAAACAUCAGAUGAUCUCUUCUCAUUUGCCCUCCUAAUUCGCUUGUGAGGAAGACCUCUCUGGUGGUCACCUAUAUUCUUUGAACUGUAAUCUAAACCUCCAAAGGGCAUUGAAUAUGAUACCUGAGUUCGUGGUUUCUUAGGUCCAUUUCCAAAAUUAUUGUGGAAGAAAUCAGCCUUUCCAUCUGACCAUCUAUGGGCAUGAUAUCCAAUCGAUGAACUACUUCUAUUUCGAUGCCAAUAACUUCUUGGAGCAGUAGGAUUAGGAGUUGGGAUAACACCACCAUUCAUAUUCCAAGUCAAAUCUGUAGACCGUUGAGUGCUGGGUAAUUUGCUGUCAACAUGAACUUUAUAUUGAUCAAAGGGUGGAAGCUCAACCCUAAUACCAUUCAAAACGGAACUAGACCCUGAACCCUUCUUACAACCAUCAACAACCUUUGACGACAAAAACGGUUGCUGAGACUCUGAAUAGUCACAUUUUUGCUUCUCUAAUUGACCAAUGGCUGAGGCUCCAACUUCUUCAGGUUUAUGAUAGAUGGCAGGACUUCCAUUUACAAUUUGAUCACUAUUUGCAUGCUUCUGCAAGGACUUUCUCCAACGACCAUCACUAGAAACUGAGAGAUCAAGAGUCAUUAACUCAGUGACGGAAGCAACCUUUGAUGAAGCCUUUAGAAAAUUUCCUAAACAACUUUCGAAACUUUUUUUCACACAGUCCUCUCUAUUAGAGUUUUCAUCCAACAACAAAUUGCCAGAGCUUUCUGGAUUCUCAAUGGAGUCAUGAUCCUGAAAGCUGAUGCGAGCAACACAAUAAUCCAUAAGUAGUUUAAGAUGCAAACUGAUAAAGAAAGUAGACGCAGCACCAAAAGAAAGAGUAAACAGAGGAAGAUUUUUGUUCUGUUUCUCAGAACUGGAAGAAAGUUGGCCAACUUCCAGACAACUAUAUCCUCUGGAAACACCCAUACGGCUGAGACCCUGCCUAUAUCUUCUCCUUGAGCCCUGUUCAAUAGCAAACAAAUUCAAAUAUUUAAUAGCAGCCGCAAAACAAAAGAUAGACAUUAGAUAUCUAACCAUACAGCAAAAAAUAUAAAAAUAAACACCACUCCAGAACCCAUGGCUGAUAGUUAAAUCACCAGCAAGGACUUGCAUGGUAAAAAUAAAACUAACAUGGCCUUUCUUUAGCAUGGAUUUCCUUUCUUCCCUUCUUUUUGCAAGGGCAAGUGUGGUUUUUAGGGGCAAAUAACAAAAGAAAAAAUAUAUAUUUCUUUUCAUCAGAAGACUACACUCACAAGUAAAACACAUACGCCAAAAGAACACCUUUGACAUUGAGAUUUCAAUAGCAAAGCAACAUGGGGAAGAGUCAUACCUCAAGCGAUGAGGAGCCUUUGUAAGGAGAACUAAACAGCUGGUUAGUUCCAUUCUGAAGCGCCUUAAUGUUAUCAUAAGUGCACUCAGACAGAGGUAAUUGCCUAUUGAGCACACAAUAUCUUUUCAGCUUACAAUCCAAAAACAUCCAUUUGAAAUGCUUCACUUCAUGAAAAUAACAACAGGCAAAGACAAUCUGCUUCCUAAAAUCUUGAGUCAGAGAAAAUUUGAACCUGAUCGAAGUUACAGGCACCCGCACAUCAGCAAACUUCCCCAGUUCAGCAGAUCGAUAAAAUACCUUCAGGACCUGGAAAAUAAAAGCUACAGCUUCCUUCAACGAUCCUUGAAACAGGAGAAACCUUAGUCCAACUUCAUUAUCAACAAAAAGGACCUCUAGAUGAACAAUUGGCCAGAUAGUCAUCACCGUACCACACUGAAGCAGCAACAAUGAAUGAACUAGCCAAAAGCUUUUCACUCCAAAUAAAUUAUUGACAGAGAGCAUGGGGAAGCUCAAUCCAAACCUGAACUGUUUCGAAUGUAAUAGCGAAAUAUUUAAUUGUAACUGCCCUGCAUUAUCAGUAAACAACAGAUCUCCUUCAGGAUCCAACCGUCCAAGACAAACAUUAAGUUCUCCCAAAUCCCGAAAGUCAUCAACAGAGCCAAGAAAAGUGAUAGGUUUAGACACCAUGCUGGCACCACAAGUGCUUUCAGAAGCCUGCCACAAAACUUUCUCUGUCCUGCGAAAUCUCCUUCGAAAAUAAACGAUAGGAUGUUUACCGUCUUUAGGGCAACUACCCAAAGAAGAAUCCUCGAUGAUUCUACCAUCAACAGGUCUAUCUGACAGUGCAGAGGAACCAAACAAUUUAACUUUUCUUGCUUUCAAGGAACCCCCGUGAAGACAACCGUUUUCAUCCACAGCUUCAUCACAAGACAAUGGUUGCCGAUGAAAACUACAAGAAGCAGAUGUUUUCUGUCUCUUCACAGCAUGCAAAGGUAGGGAUUUGACACGACGGCUAGAGCGCGCCAACCAGGAUAUGAUGGGUUCUGACUCCAUAUAGCUACCAUUACCACUGUCAUCUUCUUUCAUGGCAUUUCUCUUCCGGUUCUCUUUGUUGAGCUUCAUGUUCCUGAUUCUAUCACCAGUGUCCCCAACACCCUGAGAUCUUUUUGGCUCAGAUUUGUUGGGAACUUCACUUGGAAAAAGCAGGAGUUUAAAUCUCUCUUCUUGUAAAUUUACCCAUUCCUCAUCACGGUCAUCAUAUUUUACAUGGUGAAGUUUUCUCUCUUUGUCAUAAUCAUUGACAAAGCCAUAAUACCAACUCUUGUCCAAAGGCCAAAACACCUUAAUUUUUCUAUUUAACACCCAGUUUGCAUCCAAAUCUCCAGAGAAAAUUUCAUAAAAGUGGCGCCUUUUCCUUGAAUUGCCUUUCUCUCCAUGUCUUUCCCUUGGUCUCAAUACCCUACCAGAAGCAUCGAGAGAGGGAGAUUCACAACCAGAAAAUUUCUUAGACCUAGAACUAGCAUCCCGACCAGAAGCUAAGAGAAAAGAUAAUUCAUUCUCAGACGGUGAUAAAGAGACUUUGCUGUUCAAAGAAAAGCCAGUACAACUUGGGUCAAACCGUGAUGAUAACAUCCUCGCUGCAUUCUCUUCAAGAUUCUCUUCAUCAUCAUCUUGCAAAUCACCAAAUGGCUUUACAGAAGAAUCUACUAAUCUCUCAACCUUCUUAGCAAAAGAUUUGCCACCUUUUACUGUAUCCUUCUUCUUCCUAGGCUUUCUUCUUGAUCUUUUUAAAGAAGAAUCACCAUCAUUUACAGCUGAGUGACCAGCAACACUAUCUUCUUCCUUCAAAUGCUGAACUGAACUUGGCUCACUGCUUCUACUUUCCUUAAAAUCAUCAAUAAGCUUCUCUUCUUCAACCUUCAAAGACACAUUCUGAGUGCUGGAAUCUUCACUGGCUAACUUCACAUCCUCACUAACACCAACAACUACACUACUAGGUCGCCCAUCUGGCUUCAAGACUUGACCACUCUCAAACUUGUUUCGCCCCACAAACCCACGUUUACGCCUGGGAAUACUAGUACCACUGUCACCCAAACUAAGUGAAAUGCCAUUAGCACUGUAACCAUUCUUUGAUUUUUGACUCAAACCAAACUUCUUCAAGCUUUCUGGACCAUGCAGCCCAGAACAAACACCCCCAUCAUAAACUUCAGUUAAACUCUUGCUACUACUACUAUCAUGGUUGGUUCUAAAACUACUGAGAGGCAGAGCUUUCCUACUCUUCUUUCUCUUGUUAUUAAUAGUACUCCUCUUCUCAUCAUCACCUUCUUGUGAACUUUCUUUCCUCUUCAAGCUCUUAUUUUUAAAAAACUCCUUUGAAUCACCAGAUUCAUACAAACUCUUAAGAUCCAAAGAUCUUGAUUUCUUAGGAAUUUCCGCUCCAUGAGAGUUCAAUACUCUAUUUUCCAUCAACAACCCCUCAAUGCAAACAGGGAAACCCCAAUCUCCCACUUUUUAGUUUUUACAUUUACCCAUCAUGCAUGUUUUAGAUCUGUAAAACCAAAAAUGCACCCAAAAUUGACCAAAAAUGAAAAAAAAUAAUCUCUCAAAUUUCCCAUAAAUUAGCCAAUCAAUCCCAAUACCUAUAUAUUCAAAUGAUUCUUUAAUAAAUUAAACUAUUAACAAAUAAACGCUAUAAAGUUCAUUACUUACCUGAUCGAUGUAUCAGAAAAAAUCAAUUUCUCCGCCGAAUCAUGAAAAUCAAGAGUGUUAUCGUAGGCUAGGGUUUGAAUCCUCGAUAGAUUUUUCGAAUUUUUUUUUAUUUUAAUUUCUCUAUAAUUUUGUUUUCUUUUUUUUUUUUUACCGUGACAAACGGAAAAUCCUAGGGCUUCUUUAGAUUGCAAAAUGAUAAAAAUUAUAUAUACUAGGCUAUUUUAUUUUAGCUACGUGGCGAUAUACUGGCCGUCGGAUUUACAUUGUGUGGUGAGAUAUGGUUUCGAUUGUUUAAAGCUACUUGAUUAACGAACGGCGACGAUUGAGUUUACUGAAAAGUGGACGGUUUAGAUUUUGCAGGUACAAAAGAGAGGUGUGGUAGUUAAGCGGCUCCAUUUUGCUAAAACUGUAAAUUAAAAGAGGAGAAAGAAAAAAGUUUUAUUCCUCAUUUCCAUUUUCGUAUUGGUAAAUUAACCCUGAUGUUUCCAUAAAAUAUAAAAAAUGCCAUCGAUUUUAUUUUAUUUUUAAGUGAGUAGGCGCCAUUACGGGAGUGAGAAAAGCCACUCGCUAUCUUGAUGCGUAAAAGGUAUUCGCUUUAACAAAUGGAAACGUGGCGGAAGGAUUUGAUCAUUGCUUACGUGUACAGUUAAAACGGCGAGUUUGUCGUCGUGGCGCGUUGGAGAGAGGCAGUGCUACGUUAAAGCUAGUAACUGUUUAAACGUCCUGCACAGUGACUUGAUGGAAACGUGAGAAGUUUAAAUUACACGAAAUUUGCUUGUAAUUACACUUUUGUCCAACAUUAAAUGUUAUUUCUCCCGCCAGAACACUUCGUUACCACACGACCCAACCUGACUGACCUGCUUUCAACUGGUUUUACCGAGGUUUUUUAAGCUGAAUUGGUGGUGGAAUCCACGGGUGAUCGGUUUAUUCAUUCUAUAUUAGUUAGUAGAGUUUAAUUAAAUAAAUUAUUAAAAAUUAUAAAAAUAAAAAAUUUAAAUAUUUGAUUUAAUUGAUUUCUAUCUAUUCUCGAAUCAAUUAAUUUAAUGUUUUCUCCAAAUCAAUACUCUAAAUAAUUCUCGAUCCGAUUCAAACAAUAUUAAAUUUUACACGAAAUUUAAAUUAAAUGUUUUUGCAUUUAAAUUUUAUUAUAAAAAUAUAUAUUAAAUAUUGUAAAUGAUUUUUUUAUUAAGUGAAGAAACGUUACAAAUUAGUAAAAUAAAGUGUAGUAAAGAGAUAGCGAAAAAGAACAUCAAAACAAACCUUAGAAAAUAAGUACAGUGGUUAUGUAAACAAUAAGAGGCUAAAAAGGUUAAGAGUUAUGGCUGCCGUAGAUAUAAUAAUAAGAGAGAUAUGAAAAGAAUUCUAGAGCGCUCAAGUUUACAAAAAAUUAAAUAGUUCAAAAUAAAACGCUUAUAUGCCAUAAAAAAUUUAUCAAAUGGUUAUAAUAAUGAUAAAAAGUGGGAACCAUUGUGCUAAAAUAGUGGGUAGUGAAAUUGAGAGUGAUUAGCAAAUUUGGAUAAUGGAUUAGAAGAUAUACAAAUAGGGGAGAUAAUGAUAGUAUCAAAAUAAUAUAAAAUGAUACCUAUAAUUAAAGAGUAUGUUAUUUUUUACGGACAUCUCCUCUUUUAUUUUGGAGGGGUGGGGGUAUUAGGCCUUUUAAGAAAACUUGUCUUGUAACAUUCUAAAAAUUGAACGUCGAAUUUGAGCCACAUCAAAGAUUGAAUAAAUAAAUUUUGUUUACUAUGGUUGUUUAGUGUGGAAUAUUUAUUCACCGUAAUGACUCAAUUUCUAUCAAUGUUGGAACAGUCAAUUUCGAUAUUAAAUUUACUAUUUGAACUAUCCGAAAAAGUUAAACCAAAGAAUUCAAACCUAUUAUGAGAUUAAGAAAUUAAUUAUGUUAUGCAUGGCAUAUAAUGUUUUUACUGAGUUGUAAUUAAACAUGAAGCUUAUGUUUAAUUUCUUAGCUCAACCAUCCGUUGUAAUGAUUUUACUAAGUUUAGUUACGUAUGGCAUAUAUCGAAGUCAUUAUGAAAUAUUUUGGAGUCUUUAUAAUAUUUUGAUUUUUAAAUACGGUAAUGAUGCCUUGUUGAAUAGUCAGAUGAUUUUGAGUUUAUUUACUUUAUAGCAUAUGGAAAUAUAAAUAUGAGUAUCUAAAGUUUAGAUGAAUGGUUAGUUUAAUUGGACUAGUCACAUUGAAAUUAGUGACAUGAUUUUUAGAUAUUUGAUUGCAAUUAAACAUGUUUAAUAGGUGUGUAUUAGGUUAAAGUAAGUUAAAAUGGUCAUUUUGUCAUAAAUUUAUGGAGUGUAAUUUAAUUUAAGUAAUUAAAAUGCGUAUCUAGUUGGUUUAAUUUUUUUACUUACUAAUGUUAAUAUAAGAUACAUGGUUUUCCAUGAUUCUUAAGUUAUUGAUUGUGUUUUACAUGUUAUGAUGUGUUCUGGGUUUGGUGUAAUGUUUUGACAUCAUUUGUUUGUUGAAAAAGUUGCAUUUUUGGUAGCUAGGUCUCCAGGCACAUUAGUCAUGUCUCGAGACAGUAUGAUAAAAAAUGGCAAAAUGGUGCUUUUUUGGGUAAUGGUCUAGAGACUGAAUAAGCAUGUGUCAAGACAUGGUUUGCAUAGCCUAAAUACAAGGAUUUUGUUAUCUCGAGACGAGUCAACAUCGAGCCUAAAAUAUAUUUUGCCUUGUUUUAGGUCUCGAGAUAAGAAUCCCUUAAUCUCGAGACAUUCAAACAUCAAAUUUAAGGGUUUAAAAUAGGGGAACUAAGUCUCGAGAUAAGAACUUUAAUGUCUCGAGACACAUUGUUAAAUUUGGUUCAUUGAGUUUGGAUUCGAAUCCUAACUUCACAUUUGAUCAUGCUUAAUUAUAAUAAACACUUUAUAUGAGUUUAUUUGACAUUAAUUCAUUAUGUUUAUGCAUAAUUUUAUGAUCGUAUGAAAAUUAUUAUGAUUGUAUAUCAAAUUGUUUAAUGUAAUAAUUUGAAAUAGUUUGAGUUGCUUCAACAACGUAAUGUAAUGCAUGUCAUGCACUUGAAUUUAAAUUCAUAACAUUACAUCAAGGUUAUUAAGCUAGAUUAAGUCCACGGGAGAGAAAGAAAAAAUCAAGAAGGAAAAUAGACACUUUAACAAUAUAUAAAAAUGAAACAUCAAAACAAGGAUGUAGCAACAUCACUUCCUAAAAGCAUGUAUUAGUUAUAUAAGUAUUUCUAUACCUUUCAAGUAUAGGUCUAAACUUAAGGCCAUACCAAUAACAUGGUCCAUUCCUAGCUUGCAGUGUUUGAGAAAUGUGUCUAUAUUAUAGUAAACAUAUAACUAUUUUUUAUGUAUUUGAACUAUGAAUAAGUAAAUAAAAUUUAUUUCACAUUUCACUAUUAUAUCUUUAGUGUUUGUCAUUCAUGUUUUGCAUACAUUGCAAAAUUGUGACAAGCAAAUAUUAAUUUAUUGAUUGUCUGAGUUAAAACUGAUGAUAAGUGGCACUGUAAGAACAUUUACAUUGCAAGAAAAACAACUUACUUCAGUAGAUAAUCUAAAUGAGUCUGAAAUCCUAUAAAAUAAUCAAAGUGAGCAUUUGUUUCAAAUACUUAGAAGAUUAUUAUGUUGUCUACAAUUCUAAUUGGGGAGUUGACUAGUAUUGGCUAUCAGAGCAGUUGACUCUACGGGUAGAGACAUAAUUUUAUUCAUUAGAAGAAUAAUACAUUGGACUAGACCCAAGAUGAAUCAAUUUUGAAUUUAUUUGAAUUAAUUUACUUGUUACUUUUAUAGUGUGAUUUAUCAAAAUCCUGAGUUAGUCAUUGAUCAUGUGUUUUUAUAUAAGUGGAGUCUUAUACUUUAAAGAUGGUUGAGCCCAUUGUUGGUAUAUUGAGUAUAUAACUUAUGUAUGGAAUGGUUUUACUAGCAACAAUGGAAUUCAUAACUCAAUUAAAGAGUUAAACGACAUUCUUUCAUUAACAUUGUGUGGAUUGAUAAAUAUGAAACAUGACUACAAGUUGUUUGUUCGAGAACAAGCAAUUUAUCACAGUCAUUUGUUGACAAUGGUCAUAUUAAUCAUUAAAAAGACACAAUGAGAUAAAAUAAUAUUGUAUUGAGUGAACGAAUUUAACUCAAAUGAAUCAAUGAUAUCAUAAGAGGGUAACACAUACAUGACGAGGUCAUUUGGCAAAGUAGUUAGAUGAAUUGCUUUCUUAAAAAGUAUAUAAUAAGGAGUUUUCAAUCAUAGUAUUUCUUGUGGAGUGACUCUAUGAUUAAAUAAAUUACGAAUUAUCGGAACGAUGCUUCCGAAUAUAAUUGCAAUUACUAUAGCCUAAUUGUAUAUGUUCGAUUGGUCCCUUCUGCUAGCUCAAUAAAAUUUCAAUUUGACUACAUUUGAAUAAGAAUGAAAUUCUACGACUUCGGAAAUAAUUUAAUUGAAUCGAUUUAUUUAAUGUGGAAUUGAAUUGGGUGAUUGUGAGAAUUGUUCAACUAAAGAAUUUAAUUAAAGAAUUUUCUUGAAAAAUUAAUUUUCUAGUGGUUAUUGGUAAAAUUAAUUUUAAUAAAGUAAAUUUAAAUUACUCAAAUUAAUUAAAAUAAAUAUGAUAUUUUGAAAAUUAAUUUUCUGACUCUCAAUGGGUAAUUGAACUUGAAAAUUGAAUUUGAGAUUGAAAAUUGGGCUCGAAAACCCAAAAUUGAGACCCAAAACUGGUUGAAUCGGACCCGUCAUUAGGCCCGGACUGAACCGGCAACGACUGAACUGACAGUAGUCGAACUAGCUUAGGGUGUUGCAGCUGCGAUGACACUAUUGGACACGAUGGUGCCGGCAGCCACAAAGACAUUCCGGUAGUCGGUGGGUUGUCCUUCAGCAAUUUAGCAAUGGAGGAAUCACAUUUCUAUCGGAUAAUUUGAUUUCAAAUUAACUAAUCCAAAAAUAAUAUUAUUUUAAUAUAUUAAAUAUUUGUCUUGUAGAUAAGUAUUAUACUAAUUUAAUAUUAAAGUGAUUAAAUUUAAUUGCAGUUGAACUAUCUAAUUUCUCUCUAUAUAAAGAAAACUAUCGGUUAUUAUUUUUCACUUACAUGAAUUUAAGAGAUAGAUAUAGAGAGAAAAUUAUCUGAAUAAAUUAUUUGAGAAAAUCUAUGAAAUUAUUAUUUUUAUUUAUAACUUAAUCCUAGAGUUUAGAGAAAUUGUAAAAUUGCCAUAUUGCUCUGAUUCGAAGUGAGCUUAAAUUCGGCAUAUGUGAAUAAGCUCCUAAAAGAAUAAGGUUGAAAUAGUUUAAUGACUUAAACAAUAAAUUUAGAAUAGUUUAGUGACAAACUUGAGAUUUUUUAAAAUUGAGUGGUUAAAGUAUAGGACAUUUUUUUGGCAUAAUUUACCCUUAAAUUUAUGAAUAAAAUUGAAGGAUCUUCUUAUAUGUUAAGCAGCACAAUGGCCCAAAUUCUAUAGUAAAAUUCCUUUCUAUUGCAUCGUUGCCUUCCCUAUUACCAUUGCAAUUUCCCUGUUUAAAGCCACAUCCGGAAAUUCUUCGCUUUCAAAUUCGCCCACCAAUCGCAUUCAUCUUUUACUCGUUGCAAAUUAUUAGCAUUUUUAUUGAUAUCGAUGUCGAUUUCGAUCUAAAUCUGGACCUUCAAUUUCUUCUCCUAUUGAAAAAAAAUUCGAGUUUAUACGACAAUAUUCGUUCCAAAGGUUGAGCUGGUAUGAGAUAUUUCGGUGUCAGAUCUCUUCAGUUUGAAGUAAGAAUCUUCGUCCAUAUCCCUAAUUCCUGCUCAAUUGCAAAGAAAAGCGACGGAAUUAUGUUUUUUUUUUUAAAAAAAAUCCUUUUCAUUUUCUUUCCAGGGAAUCAGAUGUUAGAUUAGAGACUUCUUUUUUAAAGAUCGUGGAGGUUAAUUAGAAAAAAUGAAAGCAAAAGCGGUACAAUCGUCAUUUAGGGAUCGGACGCAAGAAUUUCUGAGCGUGUCGGAGAGGUUAAGGAAGUCGAUCACGUCUGGAACGAGCCAAAAUGGACCGAGUAGCAGUAGUUCGAGAGCGGAGGAAAAGAGAUCUGUGGUUGCGCAUCAAUCUGAGUUUAAUAGGAGGGCUUCGAAGAUUGGAUUUGGGAUUCAUCAGACUUCGCAGAAGCUUUCAAAGUUAGCAAAAUGUAAGUACUCAUAUCUGCUUCAUUUAAUCAUUUGGAAUUGGUUUUCUUCAAAAGGAAUGUUUAUAUGGUAUAUCGUUUUUAGAAAAAAAUGAAGGUAAGCUAGGCAUGGGUUAUUUAAAUCCUGAAAUUUAGCUUCUCCGAGCGUGUAGCUUAGUAUUUAGGAGCUUCUAAGAGGAGUUAUAGAUUUAAUGGACUUAUGGGUUGUGUAAAAAUGAACUUAGAUACUUGAAACUAUUUCAGUCAAACAAUAUAUGGGAAGAAUGUGCUUGAAACAAUUCAAAGCUCCUGUUGGGUCAAAAAGUCUCUUAAGAGUAUGAUUUUAAAGAAAGAUGUUCAUUGAUGCUUUAUUUGGUAUCAAGUGUGGAAAAGUGUAAGGCUAGAAUAUUCAGAGGCAACAAAAAGUGAAAGGAAUGAAAAUAUAUUUUGUUUCUUUCCACUAUUGUUAAUAGGGUAUCCGUAGCACCGAUAUAAAUGGAGGAUUAGUUGAACUGUUGGCUUGUGAUUUUUAAGAAUGAUGGAAAUUAAAAUGUUAUUUCUAAAGAAUGCUUGAUAAAAUUGAAAAGUGAAAGAAAAAUGAAAACACAUGGUUUAUCCUUUAUAACCUUUUCAAGUGAGGUGUAGAUAGAAGGGCAAACAUUUUUACAAAGGUGAGUAAGUUUUUACAUUUUGCAGCAGUAAACUUACACCAUCAAAUAUUCACUCCCUUAAGAUUUGUAAUUUGAGAGGAUUGAUUUUUGUUAAUAUGGGCAGGGCCAGUUCGGUCCUAACCAACUUCCCUUUUUCAAAAGUCAACCUCAAAUCAGCCUUGGUCGCCCAUUUAUAUAUUAUUUUGGUAUAAAAAUAGUAUAAUGUUAUUUUAUUACCAAUAUCCAAAAUAGUUUUCACAUAAUAAAUAAAUUUAUUAUUUAUUAAAACAAUAAUUUAAUCGGGUCAGACACUUGCAUAAGCUCUAAAGUAUGGACCUAAUUGGUCUCGCCUGUGGGCUUGGGUGGGUUGCCAGCCACAUGAGCACCUGCAGGAAAUGGCAAUGGCUUUUGUUGUCUUUCUGACCAAGAAUGAGGCAAAAUCAUUUUCUUUCCUCUUUUUCACCUUCUCCUUUUCUGCCUGACAAACUCUUUAAUGAUACCAGUGAGUAAUGAUAUUUGUUUGGUUAUGUUUAUUGUACAUGAUAUUUAUGGUGUACAUAGUGGAUUAGGAAAUUAUUCAUUUGUCAAAUACUCAAAUUGUACUUUGCUUACAUCUAUGGAAAAGUGGUUUUAAAUUAGUUUAUUCAUUGGUCAUCCUUGAACUGAAACAAAUUACUCAAGAUUAUGGUCACAGUAAGAGAAACUUCAUUAUCUUUUUGUUUACAGUUUUACUGCUGGAUUAUUGUGUAUAUCCUCGAGUACUACACUUUAAGCAGAUAUUAUGCUAUGCAGAAACUUCCAUAGUCAAAACCAUGAACUUUUUCCGUUUCCCCUUCUUUUUCCCGUCUUUGGUUUGAUAGGAAUUGAAUUAACAAUUGUUAGAACUUGAUCAUAAGAACUGAAGUAGCAAGUUGUCCAAUCUUGGUUGUCUUGGUUUAGGUCAUACUAUUGCUGUAGCAAAACUUGAUGAAAUCCAGUGUGCACAACUGUCAGUAACAUAUUAUAGAAGACAAAAAGACCAGAUAUUUGUAGGAGUUUAUUAUUAUUGUGAUACUAAAAAAAAAAAAUCCCAUAUUUUACUUUUCAGUGGCCAAGAGGACUUCAGUUUUUGAUGACCCUACUAUGGAAAUUCAAGAGCUCACUGCAGUUAUCAAGCAGGAUAUCACUGCCCUUAAUUCUGCUGUGGUAGACCUGCAACUUUUCUGCAAUUCUAAAAACGAAGGUGGUGUCUCCAGUGACACAUCUAGUCAUUCAACCACAGUUGUCGAUGACUUGAAGAAUCGCUUAAUGAGUGCCACAAAAGAGUUUAAAGAUGUCCUCACCAUGCGAACAGAGGUAAGGCUGAGUUUUUCAGUCUAUUUGCUUUGUUUAAUUUGAUCUGUUUUGCUACUGUUCCUUGUAGUAAUGUCAUUGGCAAUUGAUUCCUUUGACUGGCAAUCAAAUUGCGUUGUCCAGAAUUUAAAGGUUCACGAGAAUAGAAGACAGUUAUUUUCUUCCACUGCUUCAAAGGAUUCUCCAAAUCCUUUUAUACGGCAGCGCCCCCUGGCUGCCAAAUCAGCGGCAGGAGCUUCAAACAACCUUCCUCAAUGGGCUAAUGGGUCUGCAUCUUCAUCUCAGUUGUUUCCAAGGUAACAGCUUAUUCAGAUGAUCUGCAGUUAAGCAACUUUCCCUUUGGUACAUGUAACAUGCCUUAUUAACCGCAUGAAAUAAUAUAGCACUUACAAUAAUUACUGAAUUUUUGGAAUUUGCAAGUCCAUUUAAUGAUGAACUUGUUACUGGAUAUGGAACAUUUUGUCAUUGGCCGAACCUACAUUAGGAAAGGCCAUUAAUUUCAAUUUUCUAAUUAAGGCUUAGGUUGCGAUUUGAUUUAAUUCCUUAGGUUUCUUGAUUUUGAUUUUCUUUCGGAGAAUUUAUUUUCAUUUUAGAAUAAGUUUCCUAUUUAUGUAAUAAGACUAGUCUUUAUUUAAAUGGACUUAUGGAAUGCUAAACCCCAAGCAGAAUUUCUAUAGAAGGCCCUAAGGAGUUUUAGAUUUGCAUCUCUCUAAUGAGUCUUAAUGUUUUAGUCUCCCUUUGAUGAACUGAACUAUCAAUCACUAUAGGUAAUUGAGAUAAAGGGAGGGCAAUUGACUUGAUUCUCCGUCAAUUGUCUUUUGACUCGGUCCUGUUCUCGUGUUCAUAACACAUUUUAAAAUUUAUUGUACGUUUGUAGCAGUUUGUAACAGUUGUAUAUUUGUCCUCUUUUGUCCAGAACAGGCACAGAAUUGUAUUUCUUGUUUGCUUUUUGUGCAGUUCGCAUGUGCUUGUGAUGGUUGAAUGCUGCACAUCUGCUUUUAUUCUUCAUGCAGUCCCCCCCCCCUGCUUUUAACAAUCCAUUUCUUUUUCUAGUUUUCUGGAAUGAACUAUUGUUGACUUUUGUGUUAAAAAAACUACUGUUGACUGUUCUAUUUUAGUUCUAACGGGGUUUAACUUCUUAUUUGAAUUAUAUCUACUGGAAAUUCUGUUUGAUAGUGAAACUUCAUUUUUGGUUCUUACUUAUACAGAAAGCAGGUGGAUGCAGAGAGUCAGCCUUUUCUCCAGCAACAACAACAGCAUCAACAACAAAUGGUUCCAUUGCAAGACAGUUACAUGCAGAGCAGAGCCGAAGCUCUUCAAAAUGUAGAAUCCACUAUUCAUGAGCUAGGCACUAUAUUCAACCAGCUAGCCACUCUGGUUUCUCAGCAAGGAGAAAUUGCUAUCAGGUUUUUUAUUGAAGGAACUUCGCUUAUCAUAUAUAUAUAUAUUAUUUUCUAAUAUCUGAGUUUCACGUAAUUGCAUCGUGCCAGAAACAAUGAUUUAAUUCAGUAAUCAAUUAUAAAUUAUUGCAGCUGCAUCAUGGUGUUUAAAAUUAUAUGGAAUUAGUAACCCCAUUGUUGUUCUACUGAUUUUGACUUCUGGCUUUGUCGUUGUAAGUCUUGUAAAUGUCUUGGCCUCCUAAACAAAUGACUGGCCAUGCAGUCAUUUGUUUACCACUUAGUGAUGUGGUCCUGAAAAUGCAUUAUCUAUUUGGUACUUAGGAAGAAUUUGUGAAUGUCAUUUGUUUAUUAUAGUAAACAAAGUCAUGUUGCGUGUUGCAUUUUGUGGGUAAAAGUACCAUGGUGGCUUUUGUACUAGGAGUCAGACUGCAUUUUGCCUACUCAACUCAAAAAAUGGGCAAAUUAGUCCUUGUAUGUUAGAUCAGAGAGCAAAUUGGUCCUUUAUGUUUAAAAUGUUAUCCAUUUAUAUUGUUAAAAAUUGGCGUGGCUGGUGAAAUAAUCUGACAGUGGCACGUGGCAUGCCACGUCUAAUUGAUGCUGAUGUACAAAGAUCAGUUAUUAACAGUAAAAAUGGACGAAAUUUUAAACAAAAUGUCCAGUUUGCUUUUUGAUCUAAUGUACAAGGACUAAUUUGUCUAUUUUUUAGCAGAGAGAGCAAAAUGCAAUCGGACUCCUAGUACAGGGGUCUCUAUGGUACUUUUAACCAUUUUGGGGUAAAGAUAAAAUGUUUGGCAUAAACUCAAUAAGAACAGGUGCAUCAAUAUCACGGUCUGGAUCAUUUACUGCAUCUAAGGACCACUGAUUGGGACUUGUGAUAUGUUAUUUUACAGGAUUGAUGAGAACAUGGAUGACACAUUAUCAAAUGUGGAGGGAGCACAAGGAGCAUUGCUCAAGUACCUAAACAGCAUAUCGUCUAACAGGUGGUUGAUGAUGAAGAUAUUUUUUGUAUUGAUUUUUUUCCUUAUGGUAUUCCUAUUCUUUGUGGCAUAGUCAAUAAAGUGUGUGACAAAGCUGAGAUUGAAAAGAGAACGAUAAUGAUAAUGCCUUUUUUUUUUCUGACUGUUCUGUUCUUUUCAUAUAUACCAUCUUUCUUUUUGCCCACAAUUCAGUCCUGCUGUGUUGUGAUUGGACCCAUUUUUAUCACUGUGAUGUGUAUGUAUGAGUAGAAACGUGCAAUUUGUAGAAGGUAUUUAAAAACACUAUAGCUUAUUUAUUUAUCUACUUUUGAUAAGGAGUAUGAUACUGUGCCCAACUAUACCGAUAAUCAAGUUUUAAAGGUUCACUUUAGUUGGGUUUUUAUUUUUCUGAUACAAUAAAACAAAACAAAAGCGAAGAUAUAACUAUGAUUGGAAUUGUCCUACUAAAGCUUUUUGGCUCUCCCUCCUAAUUAUCCACUUUAGCGUGUCAUCUUUUUCAUCUUUUCAUUGGAUCAUUCUGUGUUUUGUAUUAAUUCUCUCAUUGUGUUAAUAGAACAGGUCUUCCUUUGAUUUUCAGAGGGCAUUAUCAGAUUUUUCUUUACGACUAUAAUUAGAGCAGUUUUUAACACUAAAAAUUUCCUAACUAUAUCAUUGUCAUGUUCGAGAAAUCUUCCAUUCUGGUCCCUAAUAUGAAGAAUAGCAAUGGAUGAAAUGUGGUUUGGUUUGGCUUUAUGCAAGGCAGUCACAAUGGUGAUACAUAUUUAGUGUGCAUAUUAAACUAUUUCAUAAAAAAAUAUCACAUUAAAGUACAAAGAUUUAAAUAUUAAAUUUGGCUAAGUUAAAAUACAAAUAUAUAUUGCAUGAUUUGAAGAGUAGAAUGAGAGAUAUUUCUUUUACAAUUUUAAAAUUAUUUAUAAUGUUAAAUUUCUGAAAAAAAGAAGAAGGAAAACUUAACAAAGGUAUAAACGAAAAUCACAUAAAAAUCUGGAUUUGGAUGGAGUGGGGUAGGAUAUACAUGUAAGAGCAGUGAGAGACGUAAGUGGAAGCGGAGCGAUAGACAGCUGCACAUAAGACAACAUAUUAAAAUCACAUCCACCGCUUCUCUUUCUCUCUCAUUAGUCCAUUUUAGUUUACAUUAUCUACCACCCAAACCCUAUACUUUACAGUCUCUGCUCUUCCACCAUUACUCAUCCGUUUCCAUCACUCAUUUUCCCGAGAAACAAACGCUCUUCUCUUAUUAUCUUGUAUCACUUCCUCAUUUUUGAAUAAACCCCAACACAGUCUCUUUUUAGCCUUCUCUAUCUUUUUUUUUAAUCAAAUUUCGAUCUCCGUUUCUCUCUUUUAUUUUUCGAAAUAUUCAGUUUUCUUAUAUUUUUCGAUUCGACGGUUUUUUUUUUUUUUGAAUUCGGUUGGGAGGGAACAGUGAGAAAUGGCGGGAGGAAGUAGCCGUAGACAGGAGGGUUCUUUAGUGAUCAAUAAUACGAACGUUUUCGCGGCUCUUGAAACUCUCAGGAGGAAGAAGAAAUCUGAUAAGGACCGAGGUUCUUCGAAGAAAUCUUCUUCCAAGUCUCAGCAGCAGCCGGAAAAAGAAGCGGAGCCGCAGGUCUUUUGGUCUCCGGCGCCGCUUACGGGCAAAUCGUGGGCCGAUGUUGAUGAUGACGAUGAUUAUUAUGCUACAACAGCUCCUCCUCAGCCUGAUUGGAGGUCCUCUGAGCCGUCUCAGAGUCUUGAAGACAACAAUUCCCAUGUAGAGGUGACUUAAUUUGUCUCUCAAACGAUCAGUUAGUCUUUUCUUUUCAGAAUUGGUGCUAUGGAAUUCUGUAGUGCAAUUUGUGAAGAUUUAUAUUAUUAAAGCCUCUAGUUGGAUUUUGUUUUGCUAUUAUUUGAAUGGUUCUGGAUGAUUAAGUGGUGGGAACUGGUAGAAUGGACGGGAAAAAAAGUGAACUUUUAGAAGCUAAUGGAUUGACCGAUGGUAUUGUGCCAAAUGUAUUUGUGGGAACUCCCAAAACUCCCAAGGACCUUGUAGAGUAGGAUUAAGUAGGAAAAAAAAACUUGCUGGAUUUUCCAAGUAAAUUGAGUAAUAGAUGCUACUCAUGGUUCUUUUUGCCAGCAGUGGAUUAUAGGCAAGUUUUUGGUGAAGACCAUGGUCAUUUGUUCAUCUUUGAAUACUCUAAUUAUUUGGAUUGCGAUACUUUGAAGUGUACUAUGAUUGACGUUGUUAACUCAGGAACCUUGCUCUAAAAUGAAAUAUAGAAAAAGGAGAAACGUUUGCUACAACGGAACUAUUUACUGACAGAGCUUAAGUGAAGAACAUAUUGGUCUUUACUCUGUGAAUGAUGUUAUAUAGAUAUGUAUAUAUAUUAUGUUAUCAUAGAAAUCAAUGGUGGUUUCUCUUGGUUUUAGUUUGCCUUUAUUUAUUGUUCUAAUUUAGUAUUAUGGUGUUUCCAAUACUUUAUAAUAUGAUCACGUUAUAAACUUACUAUACAUUUUUUAUGAUAUUAACUCUUUUUGUACCAGUAACAUGAUCUAAUUUCACACUCCUGCCUUCUAUCAUUGGAUUUGGAUCUUAUUUCUCCUUUAGAUAGGAAAUUUGUUGUGGAAUCCUCCUAAGGAGAAGUGGGGGGAAAAAGAUCAUAUCAGUGCAUUUUUUCAAUUCACUUAUUAUCCAUAGUCGUGUUGCAUAAAUCCGUAAGUUAUCGUGCUACAUUUUUAGUUCUCUUGUUCUAAGUGGAAGUUCAUUGUAUGCUUCUUGCAAUUUAAGCUGGUUGAAGAAGGGAAACAAACAAGUGCAAUAGGCUUGAGUUAUACUUGUCUAGGAGAAUAUGUGGAUGGCAUAUAAUGAUGUAACAUCAUAGCUACUGUUACUAACAGAGAGCCAGCUGGGAUUUCCUUCUGGGCGCUCCUAACGCUCGGGUCCUUUUAUGCUUUUGUUAUUUUGCCAAAAUGACAAGUCCCUUGAGCAUUGGUGAUUUAUCCGAUUGAAUUGAUAUAGAAUGAAUAAUGGAAAUUAGUUUGCUUUCCGCAAGUUAUGUAUCAAUUUUAAUUGAUCUUAAAUUUGCAGGACAGUGAGAGCGAAGAAGAUAUUUUAGAGGAAGGUGAUGAUGAUAUUGAGGAAGAUCAUGACCAUGAACCAGAGAGUCAAGUACAUCCUGAGCCUGUGCUAGAAAAGGCUGCUGAGGUCCCUCCACCACCCAAGGAGCCAGAAAGACAACUUUCAAAGAAAGAAAGGAAGAAAAAGGAACUUGCGGAGCUGGAGGCUCUUCUUGCUGAUUUUGGAGUUACACAGAAGGAGAGCAAUGGCCAGGAUGAGUCACACGGUAGCUUUAACCUACUUUUUGCUUAUAUUAUUCUUAUGGUACUCUGUAAUUGUUUGCCUGUGACAAUGUUCCCUAUUUUCAGUGGGAAGUCAGGUCUUUGUAUUAUUUAUUCCCAUUUUCGAGGGUAGAAAGCACUAGAAUCAAAUUUUAGGGUGAUUUUUGUUUUGACAUACAAUAAUGGAUGGUUGAUGUUUCUUCUUUGGGACAAAAUGCAUAUAAUGAGGUUGAAGUUGUUUUUGAGUCUGCUUUUGGGAUAUGAAAUUCUCUCUCAAGCACAGGCGUGCAACCUUUUAUAUUCAUAAAAUAUUCUCUUAGGCUAUCUAUCGUUCACUUAACUGUAAGAUUGCAUUUAUAGUCCCGGAACCACACUUGAAUAUCAACAACGGAAAGUCUAUAAUAUACUAAGUUAAGCCUUUUUAUCUUUUAUAUCUGCAGAUGCUGUGCAAGAGAACAAAGACGGGAAGGGAGAAAAGAAGGAGAACCCUGUAGGAGAGUCUAAAAGCGCCAAGAAGAAGAAAAAGAAAGAUAAAACAAAGGAAGGAAAAGAAUCACAGGAUCAGCCUACUUGUGCAGAUGCCACCACCAAUGGACCAGAUGAAGUUGCUGGGACUGAGCAGACCGAGGAGGAUGCAUCUGCCAUUGAUGUGAAAGAGCGGCUAAAGAAGGUGGCUUCUAUGAAGAAGAAGAAAUCUAGUAAAGAGAUGGAUGCUGCUGCAAAAGCUGCCGCACAAGAAGCAGCUGCAAGGAGUGCAAGGCUAGCUGCAGCAAAGAAGAAAGAGAAGAACCAUUACAACCAACAGCCAGUGCGGUAAAAACAAAUCCCCUUGUUCUUAUAUAUAUAUAUAUAUAUAUGUAUUUGAGAUAUGAACAUGUAUUUUAUUGUUGUUCAUAUGACAAUAUGAAAUAAACAGUGAGCUUCGGUUCAGCGAAAAUGGUGACAUUUUAGUUGUAUUUGAAUGAACUAAAACGAAAAUUGUAAACUGUUUUAGGGUUGUAGUUGUUUGCUAAGAAUUCUUCGUUAGGCAGCCGUUGACACUAAAACUUACAUGUUUAUUACAUGUAUUUGGUGCUGUAGAUGAGACAAAAGGAAUGCUCGAUAUAUCUAAUUGCGGAUUGAGAACUUUAUUAAAAAUGAUAUUAUGAAAGGUUGGGUUAAGUUUUGAUUUCACAAAUAUAAUGACAUUUAAUCAAGGAAAUUAAGUGAUAUAUUUAUAAAGGAAAGGAUCCACUUAAAUUUGAUGUAUUUUAAUAUUUUAACGAUGAAAAAGAACCCUGCUUAUUUUAUUUUAAUCCCCAAUCUCUUUCUUUUGUAACCUCAUGUACCAUAUAAGCUCGUUCCCGCUUGAUUCGACUCAUACGAAUUAAAAUCAAAUUUAUUAUUUGAAUAAUAAAAUAGGUUGACAAGCGGAGCUGAGCCCUAGCCGGAUAACCCUUCAAAAUGAUUUACCUGACUAAUGUCAUUUAAUCAAUUCGGUUCAUUCAAGUCCAUUAUAAGCUUUUAAACUAAGUUAUGUUCAUGAAAUUUCACAAUCAAUCUUGACCUACUUUUAAUAUAUGUUUUCAAUUUUAAAAUAUAUAAAUUUUCGUCAAACCUAACCUAACUGAUGUUAAGUUAGUUCAAUAAUAUUAAUUAAAAACUUUAAAUUGAUCAUUUAGUGGAUAAAAGUAGGAGAUUAAUCGAUUACCUUAAUUUUUCAACUUUUCUAGCAUCAGCAUAACUUUGACUCGUGUACAUGUACAACUCGAAUGAACAAAAAUAGAAAGAAAAGCUUCAAAUUCGACCCUACAUUCAUUUUCAUUGUUUUUGAAGCCCCAAUACAACUUAUCCCAGCUAAAACCUAUAUAGCUUGCAAAUUCUGCAAUUAUAUAUAUAUGCAUGUAUACGUUGUGUGUGAGUAAUUACAUAUAGCAGAUAAUGAGAGUAAACAGAUCAUACAUAACAAAUGCACAACGCCAAUGUGAUGGGGGUACAACAACAAUAACAACAAUAUUUUGGUGAUCGAAGAAUUUGCCGUGUGUUUGGUUUGUUUUUGUUUGUGUUGUGUCUGUCAGUCACAGUCAAGUGAGAGUAACAAGCUUACAUCUCAAUUCUCAGUGUUUCACUUUCACCCCGUAAGAUAACCAUAAAGAAUGGAAGGGACGACCACCCAACACAUUAGUAGAAACACCAUCAAACUGUAUGCAGCUGGCACCAUACACAAUAUCAAUUUCCAACUCAUCAAUAUAUAUAUUUAUAUAUAUUUUUAUGUGUUACAUUUAUUACUAUAUAUCAUUAAAACCCAGAGCUUCUAUAAUUGUUGUCCACACUUCUCUCACCUCGUCGCUGGUUAUCAUGUGCUCCCGACAGUGAGCUCAAGAUGCUGGCUGUGCUCGUCCCGGAUAUUGCGUCCAGUACAUUCUCGCCAAUGUCGUUCUUGCAAAGAGGACAAGAUGCAUUGAUCUUUAGCCAUUUGUCAACGCAUUCCUUGUGCAUGAAGUGAGAACAUGGGAGCUCCCUUAGCUCUUCGUUAUUAGUGUAUUUUGCCAAACAAAUGCAGCAGACCUGUUCAAAAUCCGAGAAGUUCCAAUACUAUCAGUACGUACAGGAAGAAGAAAAAUCUAAGGGAAAAAAGCCUGAUUGAUAAUUCCCAAGUAAUCAGAGCAUAGUCCUACUGGUCGCGGAGAUAUCAGAUAGUUAAGUAUAAUGGAAAAUUGCGAAGCCAAGCAGUUAAGAAACCCAUAUAAUGAACAUGCUUUUUAUCUUAUUAUCGGGAAUACAAGACAUGUCACUGAAUUAUGAAAACAAUAAUGAAAGGAAACACUCACUGCAUCUUCUCCAGAGAUGAUCCUUUCCUUUUCCGUUCCUGCAGCCACAACCCCACCCUCACUGGCGCCUGAGUUGACAUCCUUACCAUCACUAUUUCUAUUUUUCUUCACCUUGAACUUGUAAGUUGGCAAAGCCUCGAUGGAUUCAGGUGUGGCCCCUCUUGCAUGUGAUAGAUCCUCUCUAAAUCCAAGGACAGAAAUAAUACAAGGCAGGCAACAGCAGAUCGUGGCACAUAGAAUAAAGGGUAUUGCAUAUCCGAUACAACUAAUUGUAAGAAAAACUAUACAUAACCUGGAAAGAGAAAAAGAUGAAACAAAAUGGAUGAAUCGUCAAGAAAAGUACAAAUAAAAACUUAAAUGCAGAAUAUUGCAAUCUGCAACGGCCACUACCUGUACAAGUUAGGAGCCUCACUGGCAGAUGAGUGCCCACCAAAGAUCCAGACGUUGCCAACCACAAACCAAACAGCAAAGAAGCAAUCUAAAAUCAUUUUGAAGUAUUCCACUAGUGCUUUUAUUCUGCAAUAUAAAAAUCAGCUGAUUGGAUACUAAAUGUGAUCAUGGGGCCAUAAAAAGAACCCCCAAGGCUAUAGUCCAUUAUAACCUUCAUCGAGAUGACUCUCUGUCAAAGUUCAGUAUCAAAUGGUCAGACCUAUCAUAUUUCCAGUCCAACUCAAGGAUGCUAUCAGUGCAUAGUACCAGAGUGGAGUCAAAAUAAAUCUCACAUAAACUAAAUUGGGUAUACUGAAUGCAUAAAUAUAGCAACAGCGACUUUAGCUAUUAUCAAUUGGUUUUUAGAUUGGAUACCCAUCUUAAAAUUUGGCGUGAAAGCAAAGCAAGUGUUUUCCACCUUCCUUAAUUGAUCUACGACAACAGCCACUCCAUCUAUUGUUAAUUGAUAUUAUACUGGAUGCUCAUCUUUAAAAUUUAACAUGGUAUCAGAGCAGGCACUCUACCAUUUCAUGAUAUGUCAUUAUCUCCGCAUGUGAAGUUCAUGCCACAAGAUAGGUUUGCUGUCUUCUACAUUUGAAGGUCUGUAUUGAGGGAGAUCAAGUGAAUCUCACAUUGGUUAAAUUGAGGGUAAAUUGGACACAAAAAUAUAGCAAGGGUCACUCUACCUAUUGUUAAUUGGUUUUAGGUUGGAUGCUCAUCUUAAAAUUUAACAAACAUAACAAACUUAAGACGGGAUGUAUAAUUCUCGUGCUUUUUUCUUUUCCUGAUUUCCAAAAAAGAAAAUUGUACCUGGCACUUGUUAUUCCCAUGUUUUGGCCACCUCUAGGUGAUGUAGUUGCAGUUCGAUGAUCACCCCCAUCAGAAGUCCUAGUCACAGAGAAAGAAAAGGAUCUGGCAGGGGCAUUAUUGUGUGAAGCAUGGCGAUUUUGAGCUGAAUCUUGCUCAGAAGCCUGGUUACGAUGACGAUAACGCCAAUACAGAAGAGGGAGGGUUGCUACACAUCCAGAUGAAUAGCCCACAAUCCAGGGAAACAAUGGUGUACGGGGAUGCUCAUUCCGUGACAAAGACAAGACAACAAUAGAUGCUACAAUCUGGCUCACUGUAAGAACAAGUUCAACAGAAAUCCACAAAACAGAAUUCAACGGACUCCUCCUCCGACGGGCAUCCCCUCUCCUUACAGAAGAUGAGAUUCUUGAAUUUGUACCAUUGGAUGAAGAUGUUGAAGGUUGAGAAGGUUCUGAAACUAGUGCUCUUGCACUAGUAGAAGGUCUAUCCACAUGCUGCAAAACAUCCAACCCAUUCGAAGUUGUUCCAUAAGAUGAGUUGGAUGAAGAAGUAUCAUCAAUCCUUGGCAUGUCAAUAACAUGUCCAUUAAAGUCCUUUGGUUGCUCCAUUAACAAUGGACAAGUGUCAGUUUGAUAUUCAGAAUGCAGUCCCGAAGAGGGAACACCCAUCUAAGUUCACCAACACGACUGAAAAUGAUGAAAGCAUAGAAACCUAUAAAAAGUUUACUUGCUUUAUGUACCACUUCUUAACUCUGCUGAAACAAUAGACGCUUUUUUCCCUGUUAUUGUUCAAGUUCUGAUGAUUGACUUAAACUAUUUGGCACCUUAAGAUGUUGAUAAAUUAACAAAUCCUGUUCAGUUGAGAAUUAAGAUGCAACUAAGUCAGAAUAAAAAUAUAAAAUUUUUCUCCCCCUUGAGGAAAUGAAUAUACAAUAGUUGCUAAGCAGAAAUCAAACUCAAAGGACAAAAGAGAUACCGAACCCACUGAAUCCCUAAAUCCCAUCCAAAAGAAUGAACGAAAGGGUUUGCACCAUUGAGCUUUCAGAAAUUAAUACAUGGAAAAGAAGAAACAUAUAUAACCUAAAUAUACUUUCUGAAGUAUAAAUGGCCAAUAACAAAUAACAUCAGAGCAAUCAACAGAUUACCAUUCACACAAUAAAUUUAAAAGAAAGCAAGAAAAAAACUAAAUAAUGGCAUGCAUUACGCUCAUACCCAGAGUCUAUUUUUUGUAACCCUCAAACUGCACACCAGCACAUGAAAUCAACGUGGAUUUGCCUUAUAAACAUCCAAUCUCCUUUCUUUCUGAUUAUUUAAAGAAUUAAAAACUCACCAGUCCCCUCAACCAGGCAAAGGCUUUCGACGCUUUCUUAUGACAAAUAAGAAACUUAUGGAUGGAAUUAAGUCUUAAACUAUGCAAAUUUCAUCUUAAAAUUAGUGGAGAGGGGAAAAUCCAAAUCCAGUUCUUAAAAAUUCUUAAACUAACUCAAUGAAGAUAACAGCUUCACUUUCAAUUCAAGAACUAAACUUUUGUCAAUGAAGAAAACCCUCCUCACCUCCCAAAUUCCGACCCCCACCGCCCCCACCGGAGUGGCUAAUACAGUUUCUUCAGCCGCUAAAGAAUUUUUUUCUAUUAAUUCCUACAAUAAUUUUCAACAAAAGUAAAGAAUGGGGAAAAAAAUUCACUUCCAAAAACUAUUCAAAUCAAAGUCAAUAGCAACCGUAUUUAAGAUCGAAUCAGUACCACACCUCUUAAGGAUGAAACACUAGGUUCCUCGAUCAACAAGAAAACUCGAUUCCUCCUCCUAAGCUGCAAAAAAAGGGGGAAGCGUUGACUAAAAUUCAAAAAACGAUCAACCCCUAAUAAAAAUUUGAACAAACAAAAUAAAAAGGAACUAUUAAAUACUCAGUCAACGGAAGUGAAUCGCACCAAGGUGGUCAGAAACUAGAAGGAUUGUGAGAGCUGAGAAAGUGACCGGAAAAGAUAACGGCGACGUUCGAUGAGUGGAUAGGCGCCGUUGCUGCCUCUAGUUCUUUUCAAAGGUGAGGAGUUAAAUGCUCAAGGGGGGUUUGUUUGUUGGGUAUUGCUUUAUACGGGUGGGAGAUGGUAAAUAAAAUUGUAAAAUUUCUUUUUUCACUCUCUAAUUAUGAAAAAUUACAAAAUAUUCAUUCAACUAUUUAAUUUUAUCUUUUUUGUUUUGAGUUGGCUAAUGUAAAAAUAGAAGUACCCAAAAAAAUCCAAGAUAAUUGGGUAACCCAAAAAGACAAAAUAAAAAAAAGUUGAGUUACUAAAAAUGUAGCUUGCCCUAAUAUUUAAUGUUAAUAUACUAUUUACUAUUUAUAUUUGACUUCAAUAUUUAAUUUGGUACCUGAGUUUUCUUUUUUCCCAAUUAAGCACUUUGAGUUUGGAUUUAAUAUUUAAUUUAUUACCUAAGUUUUUUCUUCUUGUCCCAAUUAAGUACCUAUACUUUUUUUUUGAGAACACAAGUGUGUUUUCAUUUGGUCUAACUACUAAAUUGAACAUUAAAGUUAAAUUCAAGUGUUAAAUUGGGAAAAAAAAUUAGGAUACCAAAUUGAACGUUAAACCCAAACUCAUGUACCAAAUGUUAUAUUAACCAUAAUAUCUAUAUGAUGAUGAUGAUGUAUGGAUUGAACCUACUUUUGUUUGCUUGUUUGCAUGGAUGAUCCAUAAAAUAGUUAAAAGUAAGAGGGGCAUAAAUAGUAAUUGUAAUAAUUAAAGAAUUGCACUUUGAAAUUUCAAACAUCUUUUGGAUUCUCUCCCCUCUAUCCGUACGGCUGGCUGUGGACUGAGUCAACUGGAUUAUCUCUAAUUUUUGCCGUCUACGUUUAUUUGUUUUUGGGUUAUUUGCAUUAAACCUCCCAAUUUAUGGGUUAAAUUUUAAAAUUAUUGUAAUUGAAUCCCCAAGCUAAAACUGAAAUUUAACUAAAUUUAUGGAACAACUUGACUAGAAUGAUUCUUUAAUUUGAAGAUUAAAUUGAUUGAUUUUAAAAUUUAAAACUUAACUUAAAAAUUUAACUAAUUUCCCUCAGCAUUUUAAUUUAUUUAUAGUAAUGAAAAAAAUGUUAAUUUUGAAUUUUGAAAACCUGAGAUCAUGUUUGAAUAUUUCUAACAUUGGACUCUACUAAUUUGUGAGCUUUUUCAUUUUUUAAAAAAAUUUCUUUUACAUAUUUUUGAAAUCUUUAUAUAUUUGAAUAACAAAUGGAGAACCCAGGGAGAAUUAGCAAAAAAAAAAAAAGGUUGUUUUUUAAAGUUAAUUAGUAAAUUAAGUUGUUUUUCUCGAAAUUUAGGGAAAUUAACUUUUUUGAAGAGAGAAAUUGAAAAUGCAUUUUUAAGAAAAAUGUUCUUUGAAAAACACUUUUCUACAAAAUACGUUUCCUUUAGACAAAUUAACUUAUCUGAUUAGAUGAUCAAAUAACAAUGUAUUUUUUUAUUUCAGUUGUUUCGAGCUUUUUUUAAUUUUUAACAAUAAAUAUAUUGUUUACCUUUUAGCAUUUUACAAGAGAGGAAUUUCGGUGAAUUACUGAAUUUGUUACAUCAUUCUAGUGUUUCUUCUACAAAAACAUUAAAUUUCUUAUAAAUUUAUCUUGACCUCGUAGAAACUAUUUAUCUUUUCACAUUAUUUCACCAUUUAAAUUAAAUUUCCAUUUAAUUUUUAUAUAAUUUCAUUCACGAUAUGGAUUUAUCAUAAUCUAGUAAUAACAUAAAAUUAUUUCAUGUCCUAUCAUUUGCAAAUAUCCUAAUAUGAUAAAAUUUCAAAUAUUCUAAUAGAUUUAUCCGAUACGUAUUCGAACAUGAUAAAUAUAAUACAAAUUUUUAAUUAAAAAAUUCACAGUAAAAAAAAAAUGAGUGGCAAACAUAAAAUGUUAUGAACUUGGUUACCAAGAGUCACUCAUGAAUCUCUUUCUCACUUCUUCCAUUGGGGCAGCCUUUGAACAACAACCUUAAAAAAUCAACAAAUCAAAACACAUCAAUGUGUUUAUGUAUAUAUAAAUAACAUUUAUUCUAUGACUAAAUAUGAAAUUUUAAUCCGAUUAAUUCAUAUCUAAACUUGAUUCAAUAUGAUUUGACUAUAUAACUCUAAAUUUAAAGAUGAUUUAAGUAAAAAAAUACUUAAAACUAGAACGAUCUAAACCUAAAAUCAUUCAAACUUAAGUAUUAAAUCCGAAUAAAACAAAAUGAAAUAACUCCAAUACUAAAUAACCUAAACUUAAAAUCCCAAAAUUUUAAAACUCAAAUUGAUUCGAUCCAAAUUGACCCAAUCGCAAAAUAACUCUAUACCUAUAUUUGGAUACUGUUAAAUAAGUGCACUUUAAGAAAAAUAAAAGAGUUAGAACUAUAUAGUAUAUACUCCCACCCUUGCAAGCUAGAAAAAUAGUUCAGCAUCAUACCUUGCCAGAGUUCUCCUUAUUUCCCACAAUAGUUCGACAAGCAAGCCUCCAAGAUUCUGGUUUCUGUACAUCAUAUAUUCACCAUAUUCGUAAAAAAAUUAUGUAAAAAAUAUAUUUAUAAGGAAGUUAUGUCAAAUACAAAAAAAAAAAAGAGAAAAGUUGUUGAAAUAAUAAAAUUGAGAUUAUAUAAUAUCUUAAAUUUAAGUUAUACUAUUUUUUAAAAUUUAUUUUGGAUUAAAUUUUAAAGAUUUCAUAUAUGAAAACACCUUCAAGAAAAAUUCAUCCUUCUUGAGGAAAAAAGCAUAUACCUUCUUGAGAUAUCGAAGUUCAUCCUUGGUUCUUUCAUUCAAAAGAUCUUUCCCAUCUACAAUCUGAUAACAAUAUCUAUUUUAUUUGAAUUUGAUGCUUGCUCAUUAAAAUGAAAAUAACCCAAAUUAAGCCUCCUUCAAUUAACAAAAUUAGUGACAGUGUAGUUAAUUUUCAUACCUCUACAAUGCAAGUUCCACAGUUUCCAAAACCUCCACAGUUCAUCACUUUUCCCUAAUCUCAAAAUCUCAACUUAGGAAUAUUAAAAAAAGAGAGUAUGAAAUUAAAAUAUUAGGCAUUGUUUUUGGUGGAGAUUUUAUUUUCGUAGAGUUGGAGUGGUUAAAAAUAUGAGACUACUUCAUCAAUUGUGUGAUGUCAUGUAUGGUUAAACUUGAACUCUUUGAGUGCCUCAUGAUUCAACUUUUUAAGUAGACAAUAACGAAUGUAUUGAGAGUCGGAGCUAAAUUCUGAUCCGCAACUAUACCAAAAAGAAAACCAAAGAAGAAGGGUUUUUUUUAAAAGCAACUUACAUAGGCAGCAUAAAGCUCAAUGUUGUUAUCCAACAUGAUGUUCCUCAGCAGCUUUUGUCCACUUAUUGCUGUAGCUUUAUCCACUGGAUACGACCCAUCACUUCCUGGCUUCGGCUGUGCCACCAACCACCACAUAUUUCAUCAUUCAAUCUCUAUGAACAGGAAACUUAAUAAAAAAAAAAUGGGUUGAUCUUUUUUGGAUGUAAAAAACUUAAAAAGAAAGUACCCCAAGAAAUUCCAGCUCGAUUUCAGGCUUUUCUGAUGUUGUUGAUGAACUGGUUUGAGGAGAAGGUGUUGCUAAUGUAAGAACAACAUGUCUCUUCUUAGCAAGGAACUUUGUUGUUGGGUUACUGUAAUUGUUGCUGUUCUUCAAUGAAAAUCCUGUUGUUGGUUGGGGUGUUAUGCUAGUUAAGCUCAAGGAUGCCAUUUUUUGUUUUUCUUAUGCUCUCUGUGCUUUUUUAAUUUCUCCAAAAUUCCCCAAAGUUUGAUUUGUAAGAUUCUGAGCCUCAAAUGGAGUGCACUUUUUUAUGGUUAGUUUAAAGUUAAAAAAUGUGGCCAGCAUUUGUUGGGUUUUGAAAUUUCUCCAUGUUCUUUGGGCUUUAUCCAACAACUUCGCUAAAAAAUAGAAAGGAAAGGACUCAUUGUGUCCAUAGUCGUACCAAUUGAUACAACAUAAUUUUAGUUUCAUAGUUUUGUUUUUGUCACUAUUAUAAUAUGCUAUAAACCCUUUCAAUCCAUCGAGAUUUACCUUUGUCAGCCCAUCCAGACUGCUACAAAAUUUUUAAUAUUCUUCUUGCUUUCACCAAUUUUAAUAUUUAUAUUUUGUAUUUAUUAAAAAAUUAAAAUUUAAAAAAUAUAUAUAAAUACUAGGGGUGAGAGUUCGAUCGGAUCGAAUCGAGUGAAAAAAUUUCGAGUUAAUCGAGUUCACGAAUCCUAUUUUAUCAUCGAAUUGAGUCGAGUGAAAUGAAAUUAGAUAUAUAAUUAAUUCCAUGUUGGAGUACAUAAAUUUGAAAACAUUUAUAUUUGAAAAUCUUUCAAAAAAAUUAUAAUAAAACAUGAGAUACUUCCAUUUUGGUUGAAAAAUGCAAUCAUAUGUUUGGGGUAUUAUAAGUGAUCAAGGGAUGGUAACUCAUAUCAUAGGAGGAAAUUUUGCGCAAAGUUCUAUUAAUAUUAAUGGGUGGCUACUUGAUUUCUUAUGGGCAUAAGCAUCUCAAGUAAUUCAACCAUAUGGUUCUUUAUUAUCUGCAUAUGGCCUUCUUUUCUUAGGUGCUCAUUUUGUAUGAGCUUUUAGUUUAAUGUUUCUAUUCAGUGAGCAUGAUUAUUGGCAAAAAUUUAUUGAAUUCAUCGUUUGGGCUCUUAAUAAAUUUGAAUACUUAAUUAGGUUUAAAAUUAUCAUUUUAGAAAAUUUUAAAAAUUUUAAAAAUUUUAAAUUUUAUAUAUAUAUUUUUAGAUUUUUUUAAAAAAUAUAAAAUUUAAAAAUUUUAUAAAUAUUUUGAAUUUAAAAAAUUAUAUUGAUUUUUUUUAUAAUUUGUUGAGAGAGAUCAAUCUAUUUAUUUUCAAAGUUGGCAAUGAUUAAAAGGGUAUUUAAACCAAUUUGUUAUUCAAAUUAUUCUAGUUAUUUGAAUUGUGAAAUUCAAAUCGACUCAACUCAAACUUGAAACUCGAAUUGAGUUAUUUGAGUUAACUCAAAUAAUUUGUAUAACUGGAAUAAUUCGAUAUCCAAUUUUUUUUUUUAUUUUUUCGAAUCGAUCAAAUUUUGCUUUACCCCUAAUAAAUUCUUAAAAAUACCAAUACAUUUGCACCUUUUCAACAAUUUCUCGAAUCUCCUUGAAAUCCAAACCAUAGCAAAUGAUUUGUGUGUAUAAACAUAUGAGAACUUGGCGUAAAUAAUUAGACUGAUUAAUUUUGGCUUGAAUCGAAAGCACUCAAUUAAACUCAAUUAAAUUCAGUUCAACCUGAUUUUAUCUUAAAAAAUCAAUAAACCGAACUUAAAUUUAUCCGAAUUCGAAACAACCAGAACUUAGAAUGACCCAACCUGAAAACUCUCAAACGAACAAAAAACAAUAUUAACUCAAAAUUGACUUAAACUCGAAUCAAAAUCAUUGAAAUUUUUAAAACUCAAUUUGACUUUAUUCAGAUUGAUUCAAUCCAAAACCAAUAGACACGCACCAUUAAAAGGUCUAUAUAUAUAACUGUAACAAUUUCUCUUGUUAAACCUUGAAAGAAGCCAAUCAUAUAAGAUGACAAAUUUGACUUAUCAACAACUUUGCUUGCAUUUGAUUCUUGAAACUUGAAAAACUUCCUGAGAACAAGGCAGUCAUGUUUUCAUACAAGUCAAACCAAGCUUCCUUUGCUUGAGUAUUACCAUGACGAUGACAACGUUAUGGCUUAGAAUUUAAUCAAAUAUUGAAACACUUGUCAGAUGAAGUUAAAAAAAAAAAGAAAAAAAAAGGGAUAUUGUUAUUAUGAUUGUCCAAGAAAAAAUAUAUAGUGAAAUCUUCCAGCAGUUCACACAUAAAUUUUUACCAGCAUAUCUGAAAACUGACAUAGGCAACUAUUUUACAAUAAGAAUUUAUAUCCAGUAAUUAUGUCAAUUCAUGUGAAUAAUGUUUGUGUAGAAUUUAGUGAGAUGGAUGCACCAUCAGUGUGGAUCAUCAACUGCAUAUGAAAACCAAGAAAGCACUAACCUGUAGGCCACAAGGUUUGCUUUCGGUCAAAGAUAAUUUGAUCUCCAUCUGGAUAUUUUUGAAGUGAAUCACUUAAUCAGUCCCGUUUAGACACCUAGCAGGCACGAGAUCUGCAGCUUUGACUGUAUAAAUGAUGCUUCAACAUGUCAAUUUGAAGUUAGGAAGAAGUCUGGGUCUGAAGCUUCUCAUUCCUUGCACAUUCCUCCUG